RNAcentral lists this long non-coding RNA (50855 nucleotides) under Coffea arabica (coffee). RNAcentral's name for it is "long non-coding RNA (CARA_LNC004636)". The record is from RNAcentral. Lineage: Eukaryota; Viridiplantae; Streptophyta; Magnoliopsida; Gentianales; Rubiaceae.
AACCAUCCUGGUCAAAUUACUCAAAUCCUGACCAGGCAUGUUAGAGAAAUUGGAUUUGGGCAUAAUUGACACCUCUUAAUUCCUAGGCUUGGAAAUCCUCGGAUUACUAGGUGCUUCUAUCAUUUUACUAGAGAUAGAAUAGGAUAUAUAGGUCAGAUAACUCUUGCAAUAGUCAUUCGCCGCUUGAGUCUGUGCAGUUAUGCUGUAGUUUGACUGGAAAAUUCAGGGAUUGACGGCUAAACUCAGAGGAUUAUUGUGUUUAUGUUUGUUCUUGAGAUUGGACAUAUUCUCAUGCUUCCUAUCAAAUCCAAAUUCAUCCAUAAUAUUUUUCAUGGGGGCAAGAUUCCUCCAUAAUGUGAGCAAUGAGACUCCAACUUAUCAGAGCCGUUAGCCUUGAAGUCUAUGCACUGGUUUCUGUUAUAUUACAGCAUUCUUUGCCUCUGCUAUUUCUACUCUUCUCAGUAACAUGUUUGAGUUAUGAACUCUGCUGCUGUUUUAUGCCUUUCGUCUACUGUUCAGGUAGCAUCUAGACCACAGGAGUAACAUGAAUUUAAAUUUAUCUAUCCUAUUAAUUUGUGUUUCUAAUCAGAGUUACCCAUCAGGGCUUUUUAAGCUGAUUAUAGAUGGGAACUCUGGAAUCCUGUCUGUAGCCUUAUCAUAUCUGUGUCAUUAAACGUUUUGUGUUUAAUGAAGAAAUUCAGCUGAAAUCAAUAUGAGAAAUAUUUAUCUGCAUUUUAAAAGAUGAUUUAUGAGAAAUAUUUAUCUACAGAUAAUUAUUGCUUCUUAAACAAGCACACCACAAAUAUAAAUUAAUCAUCAAAUUGAAUCUCAGGAAACUUUAUUUUACCAUGGAGAGGUAUAUUAGCUAAAUGGUAAUGUGAAUUUUCUUGGCUGCUGAGUUCAAUUAAAAUUUCUCAUUUUUUUGUGUUCCAAAAUGUUCUUCCAUGCAACAUAAGUUUAUGAGAUUCUUAUGCCUAUAUCAAGAAAUUCUGUCCUUGGGGAAAUGCGAAAAACUAGUUGCUUGCGAGGACAACAAUUUGUACUAAACUAGCAAAGAAGAAAAGUUUACAUGUUAAAGCAAUGAAGUUGAAUUUCAUUUUGUGUUUACGAAUAUGAUUAAACAGUGGAUGGUGCUUUUGCACCCAAAAAUUACUAAGCGGUGGAAGAAAUUCUUUGUGUGUUCUUUGGUCAAUGAUACUAGUAAACAAGUUUAACUUGUCUUUUUUCUUGGGUUUAAUUAUAAUAGCUCACUUAAUGGUUUUGGGACCUACUAGAUAUUUCGAGUAAGAUUGGGAUAUUCAAACAUGAAACAAUCAAUAAGAGACAAAAUAAAUAAAUUAAUAAGAGUACAAUUUCAUUGUCUAAAUGAGCACACUUUCUAGGAACAAUUUCACCAUGUAAUAUUGAAGUUAGUCAUCUCUCUUUUAUUUUGUUGCAAGUGUGGUAAUUCAAAGAAAUAGAUAAAUAAAAGUACCGUAAAUAUAAUAUCACCCAUCGAUGAGAGUCUUUUUUCCUAGAAAUGUAGGUGAAAUAUAACGGUAGUUAUUCUUAAAAUUAGAACAGAUCCUUUUUUGGUUUUUUUUUUUCAAAAAUUAUCGUAGCAUUUUUAUUGGUAAAUAUAACUUCAAGAUAAAUAAAUGAUUGAAACUUUUCAAGAAUAUAUUAUCAAAAAAACAAUGUGAAACAAAGGAAACCCUAGUGUAUGAAAAGAAUCAUGAACUCAUUGUGGGCGUGUCCAUAGAGUAAUUCACAAGCCAAUAUCUGGCCAACACAUAAACGCACGCAUGAACACAUAAAUCCAAACCAAAAGUUUAGAAACCUGUCCACUUUUUCUCAUGAUUUUAUCAUCAAGACAACAUUAACUGAUUGUGUUAUUUCUUGGUUUUUUUUUUUUUUAUCUGAAAACACAUUCUACUUUCUCAUACUAUCAAGUUAUUAAUAAUUAUGGGACGAAAGGAACAUGCUCAAUAAAGUGGAUAGAAAGGUCUGUCAACGAAUCAAAUACUGACCACUAAACGUGAAAGAUCUGUCAGAAUUGCUGGCCUGCCCAGUUCACAUUUCAGCAAAUGCUAGCCACUAAAUGUGAAAGAUCUCUCAAAAUUGCUGGCCUGCUCAGUUCACAUUUCAGCAAAUUGUGAUGUAGAAAUCAAGAGAUUCAGUUUUUUUUUUUACAAGAAAACUCGCAACUGCUAUCCGAGAGUGCACGUUGGGUAAAUCCCGUCCUGUGCAAUAGCCCACCAAUCAAACGGAGGAGUAAGACGUAUUAGGCAAAUCCUGUGUAACGGAUAGAUGUCCCAAUAGAGGUUCGAACUCGGAUUGGUAGGAAGACAUGACAUUAACUCUACUAUUUCGACCAAGUCAAGGGACAUCAAGAGAUUCAGUCUAACACAAAGUGGUCAUGAAAACAACCGCACACCUUCAUUGUCAUCUUGCUGGAAAGUCUCGAAGAAAAACAAGAAGAAUUGGUUCAGUGGGGACUUUAGUCCAAAUAUUUCUUUAAUUGUGAGACUCACGGGCUAUCACAAUUGAAGUGGCGGUGUCAUCUUUUCCAGCACAUGCAUCCAUGGGCAGAACAGAUAUGGAGGUUUUGUUCUUUUUUGUUAGGUUAUCAAUUAUUUGUUUCAGUUUUACGUAAGCAAUGAUGUCAUCUGAGUACCUUAAUUUCUUCCUCAAUCUAUUAUUGUGUGAGGAAACGAGACCGACUACUUCUCUAGAAGGAACAGAUAUAGCUGUUUUAUGCGUUAAGAAGAAGAAAAAGAAAAACGUCUUUGAAGAUGAAAAGUAAUUUUUUUUUGUCAAAAAAUAAUUGCUUCCAUAUAAAAUUUAACGCCAAAUAUUGUUUUGAGUUGCUCAAUAUAUUUUUUUUUUUUUGGACAAACCCGUAUAUUGGGGAUGAAGGCCAGACUAUGUUUUGUUAAAGUCUUGAAUAGAUAAAAGUUGAAUUAGGAGUUGCAUGCAAGUUUUGAACUUUCUUUCGGUUGGUUCUACUUUGGGUCUAUACACAAAUUUCAAAGCUGAAAGAGUUGCUUUAAUAAGCAGCACCAAGGUAUAUUUUAAGGAAACUCGAGUGCCAAAUACAGCAUUUGCUGAAUAUCUCUAAUUUUAAUUGUAAUACUACACAUUCAACUUUCUAGUACAAUUUUACACAAUUCUACUCAUUUUAUCAACUUUCUAGUACAAUUUUACACAAUUCUACUCAUUCAGGCUAGUAUUAUAUGAAUAAAAAGUAAUAAUUCGUAACAGGUCAAUUUUUUUGUAUACACUCACAUUUAUUGUAUCUUGUAUUUAAAUAGUUUCAUGAUUUAAUGUAGUUUUUCAAAUAAACACUAUCUAACCAAUGGCCAUUGGAUUCUUUCAUCCGCACCUUAUAUGAAAUUUUAAACAAUAUUGUCCUUUUGAAUUUCGCCAAUAGUUUUGUUUUGGACAGGAGAUUAUCUGAAAUAUUAUUUGGAAUAAUUACUGUAUCAUUUUUUGUGAUGUGAUGUAUGUGAGAUAAAAAGGUGAUUGAGAAGAUAAAAAGGUGUGUUGAAAAUUGCAAACAAAUAAUUUUUGACCAAAUAAUGGCUAUCCAAACAAACUUGAGGCUUUGAUAGAAUGGAAAUGUUUUUGUUUGAGUUCUAGAAAAUAGAAAACAGACUAAACGGACCAUAGUCGAGGUAUACACGUAAUGCAUAGGUUAAAUUCAGAGGAUCCAUCAGAAAAAUGCAAUUAAGGGAACCCUGCCAAGCUGCCACUUCAGUGUUCAUAAAUUUGCUCAUUCAUCUCAAUUAUUUGCUGCAAGAAUUGAUUUUUUUUUUUUGGGAUUUUUGUCUUUUUCUUAUUGUCCUACCAGUUUUUGAGUGAAUUCAUUUCCAAGGGUCAAUUGAACAUUGUUAAAAUCUAACUUUGUAGCUUGUCAAGUCAGCACAGAAAAAAGUGACUUCCUUUAGGGAGAACAAGAAUCCGUAGGCCAAAGGUAAACAAUCCAGGCACAUGUAAACAAAGGAUCUUAAUCUAAGCUAACACAAUUAACCAAAUCAACCAAUAGAAAAUUCCUAAUUGUAGAGCCUUAUCUUUAACUAUCAUCUGAUUUCUAGUUUAGUCCCUAAAUUCUAGAUUGGAACAAUUUAGUCCCCAAAUUAUACUUUGAUUCCCACGUUGAUCUCUAAAUUCCGAAUCGGGACAAUUUAAUCGCCUAACUAUACUACGAUUCUCAAUUUGGUCCCUAAACUUAUUUGUUCCCUCUAAUCUUAGGAUUUUCUUUUGGGUUAUCGUUUAAUCCUUGUUACUGCUCACUUGACUUGUGUUUCGUUAGUUUUGGGAAUUCCAUUAAAUAAUUGUCUUUAGUUGGGAUGAUAUAUGUAAUUUAGAGGCUAAAGUGUCCCAAUUUCUAGUCGAGAGACUAAAGUGAAAAUUGAGGUAUAAUUGAAGGAUGCAAAACAGAAUUAACGCAAUCUUUUAGCUCGGAGUUGAAUGAUUACAAUGAUCCGACAUUGCUGUUGUAUUGCACGUGAUACAUCUGUUCUUGGUAGAAGCUUUUCUUAAGCAAUGGAUUAUUUAAUUAAUUAACUCAUACCAGUCAGUAUCAGGAAAGCAACAAAGAUAGGGGAUUCAAAUUAAAGGGGAAAACAACAAAGAUGAUAACAAUUAAUGGCACAAAUGUCCAUAAAAAUGACUAAUAUAUUAAUCAAUAGACAGCUUAGGGAAAAACAAACAAAUUAAGGACCGCAAGAGAGAAGAAAAGGGAAAACAAGGCCAUUGGAGUUAGUAAAUGAUUUGAAUGAUCCAAUGUAUGUUCUUACAACACUUGGAAUAGGUUCCCAAUGUUUGGAAAUUGAACUAUUUUUGUCACUAAAGUUUCACUGAAAUAUAUGUAGUACCCAUAAUUUUAAUUUUGACCAAUUAGUAUAAUUGAUGCCAUUGUCCUACACCACAUCCAUUAAUAAAACAAGAAAAAGUACGGAAUAUUGCUAAUUUAAUUCCCUCAAGUUUUUAUCUAAAGUAUCUUUAUUUUGUGAUCUUUUAUUUUAUCCUAUUUAGUCCUUUCACCUUUUUUUUUCUAAUGCUAAAAUAGUCCUUUAUUCACUAAAUCCACCAGUGAACUUUUUCCAACUCGAAAUCCAGCGUCGUGAAAGGGUGUGAUCAAAACUAAUAAAUGAUUCUCUUUCCAAAAAAAAAAAACUUUACUUUCUUCUUAUUUGUCUUUUUAUAUGCUAUGUAGUUUCUUUCUUUCUUUUUUUUUUUUUUUUUACUUUCUUCAACUAUUUUUGCUACUUUCUUUUGAAACUACAUAAUUAACGAGUUUAACACACUAACAAUGUUAUAUUAUUAAAAUGAUAAAGUAUAUUAUUUCAAAUUUAAAAUUUGAUGCAAGAGGCUUAAAUCUUCCCCUAUAGUUUUAUUCUUGAUGAAAAUUACAUAUUUACCCUUGCAUGUGCAUGGGGUUGGGUACCUGCGUUCCGGCCUGCUCUCAUACUCUAUUCAACAACGUGUACGGUUAUGAUCAAAGCUUCAAAUACUCUCUUUUGAAAAAUAAUAAUUCUCAAUUAUUUUUUUAAUAUCUCUUCCUUUUCUUUUUUUUUUGAAAAAAAUUUCUUGAACUAUUUCUCAUAAAUGAAGAAAUCAUAUAAAAAAAUAAAAUGCAAAAGUAGUUGAUGAAAGUACCAAAGCAAAUUACAUAAAAAACAAAAAGAUGAGAAGAAAGUAGAAUUUAUUUUUUUCUUUGAAAGAGAAUAGUUGAAGUUUUAUUUAUACCCUUUAACACCAUAGGUUUGGAGGAAAAAGUUUCCGGCCGAGGAGGAACAAUUUUGUUACUAGAAAUAAAGUGAAAGGACUAAAUUGUAUACCUGGAACUAAAGCUUCUUUAGAUUAAAAAGUGCAAGGACUAAUAGAGCUAUUUGCACCACUUUUUCUUGUUUUAGUAACAUGAGUGUUGGUAGAUAAGGUCCAAGUGGAAGCAAAUAGCGUCAAUUGUCUCAAACUUCUUCAAAAAGAGAUAUUGUAGGUACUAAAUGUGUUUCCAGUGAAACUUUAGAUAUGAAAAUGGCCUAAAUCCCAAAUAUUGGGGGACAAAAAACGUUAUUUUCCUAACACAUAAUUUAUUAGAAAUUUGUUGCACAAAUUUAAAGCAUGUUUUUUUUAACCUUGUUUUUGUUACAAGUGUGACGAAGCGAAGGAAUAAAGUAAAGUAAUUUACUUUUUCCUUUACGUGUGUUUGUUUUGUAGGAGUCACAAAAUUAUUUGGCACUUUUCCUCAGUUUCCUUUAUUUUCUGUCCUACAAAAUUUAAAAGAUUUUAAAGGAAAAAUGUUACUAGCGAAUAAAAUUCUCCAAUACUGCCACUAACCAUCUAUUUUCUCUUGUUUCCUUGUCAAACAAACAUGAACAGGAAGAUAUAUUUUCUUUCUUUUACCUCACUUUCUCAGGUAGUAAUCCAUCUAGUCAAAAUAGAGUCCAUGCUUCGAAAAUUUAAAAGCUAGUAUUUUCAAAAACACUACAAUCAGUGGAGAUGUAGAAAAUAAAGAUCGAAGAUGCAAAAUUGGUACAUUCGUAAAACAAUUGAGAGGCCACAUUAAAAUUCUCUUAAGUAUCUUUAUGAAAUUAUUCAACCAUAAUUAAAGAAAUUCUUUACAAAAAAUAAGGAAGGAAGUAACUAAACAUCUUGGCAGAUAUACCCCAACUUAGAACUCAAAAUUAAAAUAAAUAAACUGGUCUAUUUUCCCUUUACAAUUUUGGUUUUUUCCAGCUUCAAAAAGCCAACAGAAACUGAGGAAACUGGUUGUUGAGAAUAUCACAUAACAAAUUGCUCUACACCGCAAGCUAAAACAAGGUUUAAAAAGCUGAGAAGAAUUACAUGAAAUUUUGACAUUGAACUUCAGAUGUUACAUAAAAUAUCAUGCGGUCAUCCAAAUUUGCUCCAUUGCCAUGUCUUAGAGCUAUAGAUAUUGGUAUCUUUGUCUACGGCUAGUAAUAAUGGUCUCCGUCACAAUUGAUUGUGGAGUAUUCAAGUCGCAUUCAUCAACUACAAGGGCCUUUACACUUGGAGAAUGGAGGCAGGGCAAGAGAGUUAGGAUAGGAUGGGGAUAGUAGAUGCAUGCUGAGGAUAUUUGGUAUCACAUUUCAAUUUACUUUUUCCAAUUGUGCAUGCUCUUAAUAAAGUGAAAAUGAUAGUAAUUAUCUGUCCAAAAAUUAUUUACUUACAUCACAAGCACAUCGUCCAAUACAAAAUUUUAUUUUUUCAAUCACUUUUUUAUCUUAUAUAUAUUACAUUAACAGAAGUACUAUAAUAAUUAUUUCAAAUAAUCUACUAUCCAAAUAGUAGAAAAUCCAACACAACGUGAUGGAGUACUAUAGGGGAAGGAAUUUAUACGUUGUCAUUGAGUUGCCAAACAUGGCUAAUUAAUUGCCUUGCUAACUGUGUGAUUAAGGAUGAUAUAGUGGAAAUGACUCCCAAAAGAAUUUCUCGAAGAAUUUGAGCUAGUCUUUGACUGCAUAAAGAACUAAGACAUGUUCUAGUAAGUUGCAGUCAAGGACAUGUUACUAAUUGACAAAGUUCUAGAAAGGCUACUAAUUAUAUACUUGAUCCUUCUAUAAGAUUUUAGGGAUUGCUCAAAAGAAAAGAAGGUAUUAUGUGAAAAUUAAUUAAAUGUGCUUUUAAGAAUGACCUAAAUGGAAUUUCUUCAAUGUAAACAUCCAACUUAUUAACAUAUUGUACUAAUGGACCAUUGAACUGCGCAAAUCUUUUGUAAAUAUAUUCUAAGAUUGUGUCAAGGCUCGCCAUUGUAAGUCUACUGCAUUAAAUACAUUAAAUAGAGUAAAUGGUACGAAAGGUCAUUAACUUUUCUAAAAUUGCACUAUUUGGUCAUCAAAAAAUUUUCUUUUGUAGCCAAAAAUGACACCGAACUCAUAAAAGCAUGAUUUUUAAGUCACUGCAUUGAAUUUUAGUAUUAAAACAGCCGGACUGUACACACAUAAUAGUACGCUUAGGUAUUUAGGGGUAAAGAUCUCUUAUAACAUUCAGCGCAAGGUUUUCUCUCACAAACUGUUCUAGAAAUGUUAGAAGUAACUUCUUACCUUAUUAUAAAACCUAAUUGGAAGAUAUAAAGGAGCCUUCUAAUUAGGUUUUAUGAUAAGGUAUAUAGCAAAUUAUUUUUAAUUUUAUUGAUGCAAUUUGCGAUAGAAAAUUCUGCGCUAAAAGUUAUAAGGCAUUUUUGCUCUCGAAAAUCUAAUCAUGCUUGUAAUGUGGAUGCAUUUCCAAAUGUUUCAACACCGAAAUUGACAGGAUGACCAAAAAAUUACUUUUUACAAGUUCAAUGACCUUUUUGGUGAAGAAAAAAAAAACUUCCAAACAGUGCAAUAUUAAAAUGUUGAGAUAUAUUUUGAACCAUUUAUUACUUAUGGCUUAUGACCAUUAACCUUUUGAAAUGCAUCAUUGUGCUAAUAUGCACUUAUUGUAAAGCUUGGGGCCCUUGCCCUUAUACUGUAUAGUUUUGCUAAAGAUAUAAAAUCUCCUGACAUUUUGGUUAAAAAAAACAUAGAUGGAAAUUGAAAUACACUGGAACUAAAAGAUUCCUCCUAGAUUGAACUGUUUAUUAGAUUUCGAAAAGACAAAGGAAUAUUGACAACCAAAAUGAAAUUACAUCUUGGCAUCUAUGUAGACUACGAACAUGUUCAGAAAUUUGACCUUUAUUCAUUGAACUGUCCAAAUAGAUGGGUUAUAAUUCGAGAAUCCAAAGAAAAUAGUGAGGCAAAUUGACAGAAAACCUUUGUGAGAUUCCAUUUUAGAGUUCUAUAAUAAUCGUCAUAUCCCCAAAAAAAAAAAAAACUAAAAACAAAAGGGAAAGCAUACUGCGAGAAAUUCGUGUUCGCAAAAUGAAGCAGUAGAUGCAGUUCACUUGGCUUUUUGCAAACUUAAAAAGGGUCUGUUAAUCUGUACAAGGAAAAAUUUUCUUUUGAAAGCAUUAAAUGAACAAAGUAAUUUUACAACUUAAUAAUUUGAAAAUUUUACGUAAGUAGAUUAUUUCACCUAUUAUCUUGUAAAAUAUUAACUCAAAAUCAUCGUAUUGAUUGUUUGUUUAUGGAUUUUUUUGACCAAGAAGAAUGAAAAGAUUUCAUUCAAGUAAAACAUUUCUACUGAUGUGCUUAAGAAAUGAUGGAUUUUACUCACGAUACUAUUUUGGAAAGUGGUCUUCCUCCACGCAAAUUCAAUAAUUCAACAAUAUUCUAACUGUUAACCCAUAAAUAUAGGAUGAACAUUAACACUUAAUCAGAACAAACUCAAAUACACUGUGAUUUGAAUUCCAAAUCCAAUUUCUGCAAUAUCUACUUUGGUUAUUUUACCGCUAGAUAAAAGCCAAAGACGUGAUUUGGAUUGCAUUUUCUAAAUUUUUUUUAAUAAAAAAUUGCUAUAACACUUUUGAGAAUAUAUUAUAUGAGAUAAAAAAUAGUAUUUAAAAACAUGUAAAAUAAAUAUUGAUGAAAAAUGAAAAAUUUAUGGCAUGCAAAUUCAGAUGCUAGAGUUGCUAGCUACUAUAAAUAAAGAUAACUGGUAUUUUUCUUUUCUUGUCUUUUUUGUUUAAUUUUUUUUUACUUUCGGUGCGAAAAAGACUUCCCUAUUAUCUUGAAAUGACACUAUGAUUUGAUUCACGGAGACAGUUUAAUUAUGCAUAAACCUACUAAAUGACAAAGAAGCAAAAGGCAUAAGUCAAGCCGCAAAAAAUAUGUCCCACCCACGAUGUCCUUAUGCUUCUUAUAAUACUCUCUAAUUACUAAUAAUCAGUGGACAAGAUUUGACAGCACUGAUAUCUUCCGAUCUUUUGAAGGCUAUACUUAGCAGUUUGACAGACAUUUGUUAAUCUUUUUUAGCAUGUAACCAUAAUUAAGGAUUGAUUAAUUUUAUAGUUGCACCAAAUAGAGAUGGACUGAAUGGUUACUAGCCAACUACUAGCUCAUUCAGCCACUUUCGAUCUCGAACUCUCGUAGAAUAAUUUAAUUCCAAAUCCCAUUAAUUAUAAUGUCUAAGAAAGCAUGAACAUGCUAUCUUUAAUGUGUUUUCAUUCAAGAACAAAGCUUGUUAAACAUAUAUUUUGGGCAUCCAUUUAGAAUUCUAAGGCACAAAAAUUAGUAGAGCUCUAAUUCUAAUUCUAAUUUUACCACAUGAUAAAACAAUAGUAUUUUCAUACUAUACUAUAACUAUUCUACGUCCUAUAUAUUACAAAAUUCUUUAUUAUAUAUAAGAUGAACCAAGGUAGCACAAAAUUUGUAAUCCAAUUCAAAACCUCGAAAAGUAUGGUGACGAAGACUUUUUUUUUUUUUUUUUUGGGGGGUAAGCUGGUAACGAAGAAGUAAAUCUUAGAUCAGAAUUAUUACCUAUUUAUUCAUCCACUCUUGAACCAAAGAAUCCGAAAAUCCUAAUAUGCCAUGGAGGAUAAGACACAUAAAUAGGUAGAAUGUCUAUGUCUCAAUUAUAUUAGCUUUAGAAUUUUAAUUGGGCUCUCUCAAUUGGACCAAGUGUAAUAUGGAAUUGAUCCAAAAAAACCAUUUACGUAGCCCAGCAAGGUCAAAAUUUCAGCUUUUCUUUUUAAUUUUUUAAUUAUUUUUUAAAUGUUGUAGUUUGGUAAUUAUGUGAACAUAAGAUGCAGUGUAUUAACCGUCAAAAGGUUUUAAAUUAGAAAAAUGUCUAAUUAUAAACUCGCUUGGAACAAGAAUUCACAACAUAAACUCCAUCAAACGAAGCCCGUGACACUGAAACCUCAAUCCAAUUUAGUCUUAACUCAUUGGGAAAAAUGGUUUUAAAUUAAAAAAAUGUCUAAUUAUAGAGGUCAUAAAUGCGAGUUCUUAAGCUUAGAUGAUAAAUUGUACCUCAAUUAACUAAACUAACUAGCAGUUCCUAUUAAGUAACGAUUUCCACCAAUCUCAUUAAUAAAUUUGUUAUCUUUUUCCCUCAAAAAACCAGCAAUUUCAGUUGUGAACUGUGUGAAUUGAGAUGUCAAUUGAGGUAAUUAAUAGCAAUUUGUGAUUAAUCAUGGCAGCAAAUGAAGCAUGUGACAAAUUUGCGGCCACUGGUUUUCAUGCAAACAUGAUCACGUACCUGACCAAAGAGCUAAACUUGCCUUUAGUCAAAGCCUCCAAUACUCUCACAAACUUUGGUGGAACCUCCAGCUUCACACCCCUUAUUGGUGCUCUAAUUGCCGACUCCUUUGCUGGCCGAUUUUGGACUAUCAUUGUGGCUUCCAUCAUUUAUGAACUGGUCUUCUUGAUCUCUACUCUCUGAUAUUUUGCUUUUCAUCAGUCCGUUUGUAUUUUUUUUUUUUUACUCUUAUUGAAACUUACAGAAACAAAAUUAAAAUGGGGUGUUUGUGGAAAACAAAUGACAAUAUAAUUAAAAGUGAGACAGGAAGUGAGAUAGGAAAUGGAAUAAUAAAUUCUUUGCGAGGUGUAGGGGAUGAUAAAACUUUUAGUUUGGCCGGUAGAGUUUCAAACUUUUACUUUAGCAAGUAGAGUUUUUUUUUUGGUGAUAAAAUGAUAAUUUCAUUCAUAAAAGUUUAAAACUGCACUAACAGGCAAACAAAGUGUAUAUUCAUGCAAUAAAAGGUUUAGCCAAAUUUAAAGAGGGAUUCAAGUGAUCCUCGACUCCAUUCACUUGGAAAUUCUAUUUGACAAUAUAUAUAAACAAUACGGCUGUUUAAUUUAAAAUUAGGAAUGUAAAGGUAAUGUGUAGAAAAGGGAGGCGGCAAUGGUACGAGUUAUGUUAAAUUAGUGGUGCAUGUAAAUACAAUUCAAGAUAGAAUUUUCUGAAUUUAAUCAUUCCUAGCUCCCAAAAAAGGAAAUAAGUAUUUGUGUAGGAGUAUAUAAUUUUUAAAAAUUUCCCUUGAUAACUCUUGCAUAAAAACAGAAACUUUUGGACAAACAAUAACUUUAAUACAUGAAAGUAAUUUUUUUUUUUAAUCUUGGGGCAGCUGUCCCUCCAACCAUGCAACUGCAUCACUGAGCUAUGCUUGAAUAGGUGUUAGCAAAAACCACUUCGCUCGUAAUUUCACAAUUCUUUGUCAUGAUAGGGUAUGGUGUGUAUUACUACUUCAGCAGUGCUGCCACAACUACAUCCUCCUCCAUGUCCGACUCAACAAAACUGCAAAGAGGCCUCAAACACUCAGCUUUGGGUCCUAUAUAUUGCUCUCCUCUUGACAUCUUUAGGAACUGGUGGCAUUAGGCCCUGUGUUGUUACCUUUGCUGCUGAUCAAUUUGACAUGAGCAAAUUCGCAGCUGCAUCUAGAAGCUGGAAUUUCUUCAAUUGGUACUAUUUCUGCAUGGGAAUGGCCACACUAUUGGCUCUUACAGUGGUAGUUUAUAUCCAAGAUAAUGUUGGUUGGGGCUGGGGUCUUGGAAUCCCUACAAUUGCCAUGGCUUUAUCUAUUGUAGCUUUUGUUGUUGGCGCCCCUCUUUAUAAAAAGGUGCAACCAGGUGGGAGUCCAUUGAUUAGAUUGGCACAGGUAAUUGUUGCAGCUUUGAAGAAGAGGAAUAUCGUGGCACCAAAUGACCCUAGUCAACUGUAUGAGAACAAGGAGUUAGAUGCUACUAUCUCCUCCAAUGGAAAACUUGUUCACACUAAUCAGUUCAGGUGUGCUAUACACAUUCCCUACUAUGGUAUUAUAGCAAUUUAUCUGAAUACUGAAAUCAGCAGUUACAUGACACAAUAUGUUGGAAAUGGGAAAAAAAGACUUGGAACACAAAAAUGGUGAACAAAGUUAUGACUCACUAAAUCUUCCUCAUAUCGGUUUGCAAUUUCUUGUACUUUAAAAGAACAAAGUAGUUAAUUAGGCUUUCAUGGUGUUUUACAUAUUUUUUCUUUUAUAAAGGAAUCGUCUUACUGGUUUUAUUUAAUUAUUUUCGCUCCUUUCUUUUUCGAUGGGAGUGGAAUUAAGCAAGCUACUUUUUGUCUGGAUUUGGUAUGCUAGAAAACAGCCCAUUUUUUAUUUAAUGUAUCUGUUGAAAGUUCAGGCUUCGAGAAAAGAGUGUUAGGAGCUAAAAUUUCCAUGUAGAUUACAUUAGGAGCUGGAUGCCUGGAGAUAUUUUAUUAGAUCAAAGGUAGACUAUUUGGAAAAUGCACCUGCUAAUAGUAAUCAGGACUACAGACUUUCUAGGUUAACUACAAGCUUACUGUUAACAUACAACUGUAAACCUGUUUAGACUACUCGGUAGAACAUAUCUUCACUAUAUUAAAUGAAUUAAUUUCAUGCUUAAUGGGCUGCUCUGUUAGCAAUUGUGUUGGGACAUUAUGCAAGGGAAAGAAAAUUUCAGAAGAGAAGAAUAUAAUUUCUUCCAAUCCGAUUAGGACCCCUAACUUUAAUUGCAUACAGAGUUGAAAUACUUGGAUAUACUUUUCAUCAAUCAAAGCAAGUUAGACACUAUAACAUACUGAUGCUUUGUUGUUGAAGGUUGAUCUUCUGAAUUAGUUUCUCAUGCUGACAGAAAGUACAUAAUAGUGAACAUAUUCAGACCAGUCAAUUUCUCUGAACCUCAUUGUGCCAAUUUUCUUGUCUGAGACUAAUCUAGAUUUCUGUUGAUAUCUUUCGAUGUUCCACAACAAUUCUUGGUGCCAUUCUGUCCAUAAUUAUAUAUUGCACUCUAUCCCAGGUGGGCUGAUCGAGCAGCUGUAUUGACUGAUGAUGACAUUGAUGAAUCGAACCACCCAAAACUAUGGAGAAUAUCAACAGUACAUAGAAUUGAAGAGCUGAAAUCAGUAAUUCGAGUUUUGCCUAUUUGGGGAGCCGGGAUAUUACUAGUUACUUCCCACUCACAUCUCGGCAGCUUCACCAUCCAACAAGCUCGUAGCAUGAACCGUCAUCUAUCCCACUCCUUUGAGAUUCCUCCAGCAAGCCUGUCCAUCUUCAGUAUCAUUACUGUGCUAGUUGGUCUUGGUUUAUAUGAGCGCCUUUUUGUCCCAUUUGCUCGUCGAUUUACAGAGAAUCCUGCGGGGAUCACAUGCCUACAACGUAUGGGAAUUGGAUUCACGAUCAACAUCCUUGCUACUAUUGUUUCAGCUCUGGUUGAAAUGAAGCGAAAGGCUGUGGCAGCAGAUCAUAAUCUCUUAGACAAGCCAACUGCUACUAUACCAAUAAGUGUCUUUUGGUUGCUUCCACAGUUUUGCCUCCAUGGAAUUGCAGAGGUUUUCCAUUCUGUUGGGCACUUGGAAUUUCUUUAUGAUCAGUCCCCUGAGAGCAUGAGAAGCACAAUGGUUGCACUAUACUCCCUGGCAGCAUCAUUUGGAAAUUAUAUUGGAACAUUUGUGGUUUCAACAGUUCACAAGUAUACUGGUAUAGAGAGAAAUUGGCUACCUGAUAGGAAUCUCAACAGGGGAAGGUUGGAGAAUUAUUAUUGGCUGGUUACAGGAAUACAAGUAGUUAAUCUCAUAUACUAUCUCAUAUGUGCUUGGUGCUAUACCUAUAAACCAUUGGAAGAAUUGAUUGAAAGCAGUGAAGAUAUUGAUAUGGAGCUAGCAAACGAUAAGACAUCAACACAGGAUUCUAAGGUGAUUACUAGAGAAACAGAAUUAGCAAUACAGCAAACAUCUUAGGACGGGUUGUAUCAAUAACUAGUUAGAUGUAUUUGGUGGAAGCAUCAAUUACUUGUAUGGCUCUGCAUUGUACAUUUUAGUUCAAUCAGUGUAGUUCUUAUAAAAUGAUUCCAUCAAUUUGCCAUAACUAAGAUUACUGAAAUAGAAUCUCUGAAAAAACUGUUUCAGCUAGGCUGUUCUUUGAUAGAGUUUCUAAUUUCCUUUUAAGUGUUGGGAUCUUUCCUUUUGCGAGUUGAGAGAAGGUGCGUAUUGUAUUCGCGUCACAAAAUUCUGAUAAUUAAUUCGUUACAACUUUCAGAUGUAAAUAAUGUACAUUAUUUAAGGCCAUGUUCGGUUAGGAGUUUUGUGUUAACCAUUCAAUAUUUAUCACUUGUCUGAUAUCAUCUACAUCAUGUAUCGUAUAGUUGUUUGUUAUACUUUGUACUUAUUUUAUAGAUCUUACCCAUUGUACUCAUUUAUAGUGUAAAUAAAGAUGACAACAACCUUCAGAGUGAGCACAUUUCUUCUUCAUGGUAUCACGAGCAUUGCCAGUUCCUUGGCUUUUUUUAUUUUCUUUUUCUUUCAUCAAGAGUUCUCUUAUUAAAGAUAGUUCAAUCUCUCAGUCUACUAAAUCAUUUCUUCCUUCUCAAGUUCCACAGAUCUCCACCAUAAAGAACUCCACUUCUCUUGAAUUAACCUUCAUGAAUUUUCUUACUUGGAAGCGUCUUGUUACUACAUUUCUGAAAAGCCAAAAGAUGUUUGGUAUUGUUGAUGGAUAAAGUCUUUGUCCAAAUUCAUCAAUGAUUCAUAUGAUCUCUGGGUUCAAUGUGACACAACUGUACAUAGUUGGAUUGAUCCUACAUUUUCUCUUAAUGUUCUUGAAACACUUCUUAAUCAUGGGUGUGAAAGUGCAUGCAUAUACUGCAUGGAACACUUUGGAACGUCUCUUUCUUGAUCAUGAUGCAUCCACUAUGAUGGAUUUGAAACAUAAAUUUCAAAGCUUCACUAAAGGUGACCUAAAAGUGGAAGACUGUCUUCAACAGUUACACUUAUUGGCUUGUUCCUUCAUAACUGUCGGAAAUUCAGUAAGUUAUCUGAUGAUUAGUUAUUCAAACUCUUCAAGAACUUAUAUAUCACAAAAUCCUGUGUUCCACUCACGAACAAUGCAUAUUGCACUGCAUUAUCACUUUGUAUAUGCAAAAAUUGCUCUAGACUAUCUUCAGGUCUCUGAUAUUCCUAUUACUCGACAACUUGUUGAUAUCCUUGCUAAAAACUUCCAGCUGAUUAAUUUCAUGAACUUGCUCUAACAAAAACAACUCGAACGUGGCUUUUGGUUAUUUGUUUUCAAUUUGCUUAAUGUUCGAGCAUGUUUGGCUUUAUGUUGACAAGGGAAUACUCAGUGCAUGGAAUUAUGCUUUCAAUCUUGGAAUGACAUAGAUGAAGUUGAUUUUAUCAUUGUAUUUUAAAUUCUGUGCAUGCUGUAGAAAACUUACAGUUGUGUGUGUUGUGUUUGACCUUUUCAAGUUAUUGGGGAUGACAAAAGGAUCGUGCGCCCUACAAUUGCCGGUACAGAUAUUAAUAGAAGAAAUGUGGAUACAAAUAAUAAAUAUUAAAAACACCAGAGACUCGUAUGUUAGGUGUGGUUAACUGUUUUGUUGAAUGGACUGUACAAUUGCUGACCAAUUGCUCGGUGCAUCCAUGGAGAAGAUGUGUGUAAGUUCAUUUUUUUUGUCAACCCACAACAUCUACAAUAUUUUUAUUUUAAUUUAUAUUACAAGAGAGUUUUAGUGUCUAACUGAAUCAAUAGAAAUUAGAAGUAAAGCAACCUAUUUUCAAACUAAAAGGGUACAUUACUACUCACUCUCUACCUCCAGAUUUUACUGCAAAUGUAAAAAAUUAAACGUCGACAGUUUUUAAUGAGUACCAAAUUUUGUCAUGUUUUUACACGGUAGUGUUUUAAUAUCUGCAUUUGUUAAAUUAAUGCAUAUAUGAGAUGGUAUUACAGUAUUGUCAAAAUGGGUAUCUGCUUUGGAUCCCCCUCCCCCCUAAAAUAAUUAGCGACCAUAUUAGCUUGAGCGACAUCCUUUCUUUUCAUAUGAUAAGCUGCAAGAUUAGCUUGAGUAAUAGCAAGGGGACCAAAAUAAGACCAGCUAAAUGUGAAAAUUACAGAAUUGGGGUUUUUCCCUUUAUGUGUCAUGAUCCCUUCUGUCUUAUCGGCCCUAAUGAACACAGAAGUCAAGAAUUCCCACUUAGCAGCCUAGGUGACAGAAGGAGGGAGUGAAGUGGAUCAGCCUCAUACCUGAAUUCAAAACAAGUGAGAGACAAUUAUUUACCAAAUUUUAGGCUAGCAGCAUAAUUUUUUCCUUAAAAUACAAUGACAUGGUUAAAUUAACUUUAGAAUAGAAAUGUGUGCAAUCCUAAAUUUGGAAAAAUGGUUACCCCUAACAAUUGUUCUUGCCUUGUACCAUGAGCGUAAAUGAAGAUAUUAGGUGGUAAAUGCAAAUUUCUCUUCUUGCAUGUGGUGGUAGGGGCAGAAAAAGAGAAGGAUUGCAAGAAUGCAUGAGACCUUGAUUCUAAGGCCUACCAGUGCAUGUAUUGGUAGGUCGUGUCAUGGUUACAAGCAUAGUUUGCCGUGCUAUUCUCACAAGGAUCCACAACUUGAAAAAGCCACAAAGGGGAUUAAAAGGUUGAUUUUUCCUAGGAUGACAAUUGAUACAUUCCCAAACAACAAAAGACAUUCUUAAUUUCCUUUUAAAGCUAAAAUCAUUAACUACUAACAAGUGGGCCGUGUCUCUUUGUGCUUUUCUUCUUCUUCUUUUUUAAUAAAAAAAAGGUUUGAAUAAGUUUGGUUUGAUUAUCAGCACAAAUCAGGCAUGUACUAGAUCAUAGAUCGCUUAUAGGGGUGCUUAUAAAUUAUUCAUCAACAUAGUUUUCGCAUCGAUAGCAGAAUUCAAAUAUCGACAGUAAGAUUCAAAUACAUAUAAUCUUUUAUGAGGGAGUAAAGGGCCUCUACAAUUGCCAUUGUGGAGUCUGGUUUGUGACCUAGAUAUGGUCAUGCUCAAUUAGCUCAACCUCAACUAUUCGUAUAAAUAUUUAAAAGAAAAUUUUCUUUUCAAAAUUCACAGCUUGGAUUUAAGCCACGUUUAAAUCACCUUUAUUUGGGCAUGAAUUGUUCUCUAUUAUUGGCAAAUCACCAGCAAUUAAUGAUACUGGAUUGGAGUUGCUACCCUCAAAAUAAGUCAACAAAAUUCCAAGAUCCAACAUGUAUUGUAUACGUACUUUAAUCCCUUGAUACUUUCAAUUUCCUGCAGACAAUACUUCAGAUAUACAUAAUAUUUCCUACACAUCCGACAGCUUAAAUUUAGAAUGUACCACCAAAACCAUAUCCAAUAAAAGGAUAUCAUGAACACCUAUAGUACCAUUUCCAACUUAAAUCACACAUGCAACUUUUUCAAGCCGAUUUAUUCAGUCACAAUUGAUCAUUUCCUAAUGUGUAUUUCCUCUACAGAGUAAAUCGUACCCAAUGCUCAUAAUCAAAACUCUGAUAAUAUUAAAAAUCAUGAAAAUAUUUUAUUUCCUUUAAUCCUGUAUUUUUUUUUAUCUCAUUUCAAUACUUAAAAUCCCUAAUAUCUCCAACACUAUUUCACAUACUUUUAGAUCAUAUGACCUGAGCUCUGGUACUGCUAAAAAGUCAAAGCAAUCUCUUAUUUCUUUUGAUCUGGUUUUCCAUUUCCUUUCAAUUUUCAAAAUCAUUAAUAUCCAAACAUCAUUUCUCACACUUCCAGAUCAUAAAACCUAAACUCUGAUACCACUAAAAAUAUCACGCCCCGAGCCCGCACACGCCCGUCACGUGGCAUCCGCUGUAUCCUCAAGUAUCGUUCAAGAAUAUAAGGCAACAUCAUACUAUACUAAACUUUAAAAGUACUAAAUAAUAUAACUAGGUAAAGUGCGGUACAAAUGUCUAAAAAGGUAAUCUACGAAUAUCCAAUAAGUUCGUACAAUUAUCCUCAAAUCGAAACAACAGAAACGGAUGUAAAUAAACUAACAACUAGAAGUAGCUAGCCUGCCAACUUCUAUUCAUUUAAAGCUAAUAAAAGUCGUCCUCAGGGUCUUCUACGUAAACCAACUCAUAUUCUUCAAAAUCUGCAAGGAUGGUAAAAAGUGGGUUGAGCGACACUCGCUCAGUAGGUAAUAUCCACUCCUCUGUUGGACCAUGCACUCAUAACUUUAUAGAUACAUAUAUAUAGAUAUAAAUCAAAAUCAUUGGCACAUCGUUCACAUCCGUAAACAUGAAAGCAACAUUGUUUGUAAAACAAUCAGGAGUAACGAGUGACAAGUAAUUUAAAAGCAUCUUAUUAAUAACUAUACAUGAAAAAUCAUAAAAUCAUAAAACAUUUCGUAACAAUUCAUAAGUCUCUUCAUAUCAGUUUGUAAAUCAUUUCAUAUCAUCUCAUAACUCAUUUCAUAUUAGCUCAUAACAAGUAUAUGUAAUGAUCGGCUACUAAGCACUCAACCUAGAGAUUAAACCCCUUCUAGGUGGGCGAUCAAUAGGUUUCAUGACUACUGAUUGGUCUCAUUUCAUACAUUGGUCAAUGGGUCGGAUUUUAUACCAGACUACCAUGACCUUGUCAAUCGGUCGGACUUUAUAUCAGGCUACCAUGACUUUGUCAAUCGGCCGGACUCUAUACCAGGUUACCAUGAUCUUGUCAAUCGGUCGAACUUUAUACCAGACUACUAUGACGAUUAGACAGGACUAUAGCCCCUACUGUCUAUUCCAUGACCAUUUUGAGUUUUACUUGUCAAAAAUUCAUUUCAUAUGUCACAUAUAUAGAUCUUUGAUUUCAUAAAAGAUUUAGCUCGUUUGGUAUACAAUAAUGUAUCAAAAUAUUUCAAAUAAGUCACAUGGUCCAUUUUUGUAUAGGAAAAUAUAACUUUCAUAAAUAUUCAAACAAAGCAUUUAAUCAAAUACAUUCCUUGUCCACGCAACAAAAUAGUAUUAAAAACAAAAAAAAAAUUCAUUUUGCACAUUUGAAAUCUCAGAAGGGUAAGUACCACAUACCUCAAACUCCUCUCUUGAAGAGAUUCUUAAUGCGCCCUUAAACUUGUUUCAAACCUAUAGUCAAUAACAUAUAUACCUUAAUUAGUUCUCAUGUCUUACUCUCAAAAGCACUUAUUUCUUUCUUUAGUAACCCUAUAAAAUAUGUUUCGACUUUCUAUAAAAUAUACUUGAAUAGCUUCCUGAAAAAAAAAGAAUGUUUGCCCCUUCUCGAAAAUUUUCUGAUUUAUAAGGUUUUCCUUUAUAGAAAAUUUUCUUUCUGUUUAGCCCUGAGUUAAGUCCAUCCAUUAAAGAGUCUUGUUUAUUGGGUUUACAAUUUGAUUAGGCUCUUAAAAGCGUCAUUGGUUCAUUUAGUCAAACCUGAUUCUUGUAAAAUAAAUUCUUAGGGAUGUCUAGUUAAAAUUGGGCCAUUGUUAUAAAUUUGGACUUAUCUUUACAUUAUUGUUUUCGAUUAAACUUUGCACCUUUUGUAAAGACUUGGAAUUAUUCAAAGAAAAGAAAUGAUUUAGUUAAUAUUCAUUCCUAUUAUCAAACCUCAGGCCAUACUUAAUUGUACCAAACUUUAGAAGCUAUUCUGUAAUUUACCCAAAGAAAACAGUAAACUUUGAAAACUAAAACCAAUUCUACAAUGUUCUCCUUCCUCCCAUCAACUUCUAUGAUUAAUGACCCACCGCCGAGCUGUGAUUCAAUCAUGAGCAGGCCAAAGAAAUUUAGUCAUGUUUUAGGCGGUUUAUCAAAGAUGGUUUCUUCUUCUUCUUCUUCCAUUUUUUUUUCCUUAUCCAUGCUUCUAUUCUUCGUCAAUCCUCCAGCUCUUUUUUUUUUCCCCUCAAAGUUACAAUUCCAAUAGUCAUCAUCAUGAACAGUCAAAUUAAAAGCCGUUAACCAUGCGUAGCCAAAUUUACAAGAUUUUGUAGUCCGUGUGGUCUUAUCUAUGCUUUGAACUUGCUGAUCGAAUAUGUUAGUAGUUCCACUACUUCGGUCAAACAUCCUAGCCUCUCUCUUCUUUUCUUUUAGACAGAAAAAGCGAAGUAAAAUCCACUGGUUAUACUUAACUUGUCCAAACCCGAGGCCUGACUUGAGUAAAUGUUAAGCCUUAAAAUUUUUGAAUCUUACUGUCGAUAUUUGAAUUCUGCUAUCGAUGCGAAAACUAUGUUGAUGAAUAAUUUAUAAGCACCCCUAUAAGCGAUCUAUGAUCUAGUACAUGCCUGAUUUGUGGUGAUAAUCAAACCAAACUUAUUCAAACCUUUUUUUUAUUAAAAAAAAAAGAAGAAGAAAAGCACAAAGAGACACUGCCCACUUGUUAGUAGUUAAUGAUUUUAGCUUUAAAAGGAAAUUAAGAAUGUCUUUUGUUGUUUGGGAAUGUAUCAAUUGUCAUCCUAGGAAAAAUCAACCUUUUAAUCCCCUUUGUGGCUUUUUCAAGUUGUGGAUCCUUGUGAGAAUAGCACGGCAAACUAUGCUUGUAACCAUGACACGACCUACCAAUACAUGCACUGGUAGGCCUUAGAAUCAAGGUCUCAUGCAUUCUUGCAAUCCUUCUCUUUUUCUGCCCCUACCACCCCAUUUAAGAAGAGAAAUUUGCAUUUACCACCUAAUAUCUUUAUUUACUCUCAUGGCACAAGGCAAGAACAAUUGUUAGGGGUAACCAUUUUUCCAAAUUUAGGAUUGCACACAUUUCUAUUCUAAAGUUAAUUUAACCAUGUCAUUGUAUUUUAAGGAAAAAAUUAUGCUGCUAGCCUAAAAUUUGGUAAAUAAAUGUCUCUCACUUGUUUUGAAUUGAGGUACGAGGCUAAUCCACUUCACUCCCUCCUUCUGUCACCUAGACUGCUAAGUGGGAAUUCUUGACUUCUGAGUUCAUUAGGGCCGAUGAGACAGAAGGGAUCAUGCGAAGUUCCAACGAAUCAUGACACAUAAAGGGAAAAACCCCAAUUCUACAUUUAGCUGGUCUUAUUUUGGUCCCCUUGCUAUUACUCAAGCUAAUCUUGCAGCUUAUCAAACGAAAAGAAAGGAUGUCACUCAAGCUAAUAUGGUAGCUAAUUAUUUUAGGGGGGAGGGGGGAUCCAAUGCAGUUACCAAUUUUGACAAUGCCGGUCCGUAAUACCAUCUCAUGUAUGCAUUAAUUUAACAAAUGCAGAUAUUAAAACACUACCAUGUAAAAACAUGACAAAAUUUGGUACUCAUUAAAAAACUGUCGAGGUUUAAUUUUUUGCAUUUACAGUAAAAUUUAGAGGUAAAUGGUGAGUAGUAAUGUACCUUUUUAGUCUAAAAGUAGGUUUCUCUGCAUCUUAUUUCUAUUGAUCCAGUUAAACACUUAAACUCUCUUAUAAUAUAAAUUAGAAUAAAAAUAUUGUAGAUAUUGUCGAUUGACAAAAAAAAUCAACUUAAACACAUCUUCACCAUGGAUGCACCGAGCAAUUGGUCUGCAAUCGUAUAGUCCAUUCAACAAAACAGUUAGCCACAUCUAACAUACGAGUCUCUUGUGUUUGUAUCCCUUUAUCAUUUGUAUUUCUCUAUUCCUUCAAAAUGUGUGAGCGAAUAAAUUUACAGAAUUGAUAGGUGAGGGGACCGAAACUGCAAUUUGCCCAUAAGUAGAAGCAAUCAUCAUAACCAGAGAAAACCACCUUUGACUGAAGUUAAUGGAAAGUACACUAGCGUAACUAACUGCUGCUCACAGCUAUUAAAUGGAGGUGUGCCAGAAAGGCAGCAGCUCCACUUCCCAUUUCCACCUCAAAACCUCAAAUCAAAACAAAGCAGUAGUUCCAAUAUUCAUAAUCCUUCCCACUCAAAUUAGUUACUACUGCUCCUUUGCUAUUGGCAAUUAGGAAGAUGUCAAGGCGAUCUGGGGCGAAGGUAUUUUAGCUUUCGAGUUUGGAUGGUUGAUUAGGAAAUAACCUUGUUGAUUUUAAAGUGUGGCUAGUACGAACAGUGACAGAUCCGAGAUCUAACUGUGAUUUGUUAAUGAAGCAUUGUGCAAAGCUUGUCUUCUUGUUCUUUCGUGAUUUCUUGUCAAGCCCUUCUCUUUGUUUGCCUGGUUUUUUUAUUUGUAUUGCAGAGAAACUCCAGAGUCGAAACUGUUGUUUUAUUCACAUUCUUUCUUUUUGAGCUAUUCACAAUCUUUCUACUUGAUGCUUUUAUCUUUUUUCUUGCAGGUUGAGUGCAAAGAUGGUUGGUGCAAGUGAUCUCUCUUGCCUCUGUCUAUCUUUAAUUUAUCCGCUUGUUUCAUUAUAUAUUAUUUGAGGUAGAUAGAUCCACCUGUAUAGAGGCUGCAAGAUUGGUAGUUUGGGAAGUGAUUUGCUGUGCUGCAGUUAAUGUUGUUGAGUCUUUUGUGCUGUAAGAACUCUCCUCAGGGCACCCCAUGAACUGCGAGUACUAAUGCCAAUUUGUUUGAUUAGUGAUGCACAAUUGCACAAUUGCAGCUGAAGACUUGAGACCUCACAUACCAAAUGGAUAAUUAAUUCGAUGAUGAGUUAUGGUACCUAAUAGAUCAAUGUUCCAAGUUUACUUGGAAAUUCAUGUGCAAUCAAACUCUGAAGAAAAAGACAAUCAAGUUCAUAAGUUUUCUAAUUUGUGUUUUGACAGAUCAUCCCCUUUGAAUGGCAUCGGAUGAGAAUCAAAGUGCUACCUUAUCUUCGUUGUGUUUUUUAUGCAUUAGAAAAGGGAUAAUUGCACAAACCUCCCUUGAUGUUUCUAAAAUUUUCACUUAGCACCCUUUAAUUUAAAAAAAAAAAAAUCAUUUGUCUUCCCUAUUUUUAACUUUUUGUAACAUUGACAACCUUUUACAAAACAUAAUAUUUAAAAACUCAAAUUUUGGAUAGCGGAGUUAUUUUCAUUCCAAAUGUGCCCUUUGUUGUCUUACUUUUUUUUUUUUUCUUUCAAAAUUGAAAGCAUGUAAUAAAAAGCUAAAAAUAAAACAAACGGUACAAAUGUGUAAAUUUUGAUUGAUACAGUAUAAUCUUAGAUAUUUUAAUGUACCAAAAAUUUAUUUUAAUAAUAUAUUCAAAGUGUUUUCAAGUCAAAAAAGAUUGUUCCUUUAUUAUAAAAUGCUUUUGGUUAAUUUGAGGAGCUUUUCAAAAUUUAAAAUUUUUUAACAAAAUUUCUAAAUUCCUUGUCUAGAGUGAUGGCUUGUAAAUCAUAAAAAAGGCAAAAUAUUUAUGUUCGAAAAUGCAUUUGAGGUUUUCUCAAAGAUCGCAAAUUAUAUGAAAUUAAGGAUUUAAGAAUUGUGUACAAUUUUUUUUGAAUUUUAUAAUUCUUUGACCAGAUCAAUGGCUUGAAAACUCGAAUAAGAUAAAUUCUUAACUAUAAAUUUAAAAACAUAUUUGAGGUGUUUUGAAGGUGAAAAAUGCUAUUAUUUUCAUUGUACAAUUCUUAGGCAACUUUUGUGAAUUUUCCAAAUUACUUAGAUUUUCAAAUUUUUAGUAGAUUUUUUGUGCAGACUAAUGACGCAAAAAUUAUUAAUAGGUCUUUCAACCUUGUUAACACUUUGCAAUUCCUAAUUAAAAAAUCACAUUGGCCAAGUGUUCAAAAGUUAAGAGAUUAACUAGUUUUGUUAUGUCAACAAAAUGGUUCACAAGAGAAGGGCAAAACACUGAAAUGAAAUUAUAUUCUCUAUCUACAAUUGAGUGUUAUGCAAGUGAAGGCAAGUGAUUUUUAAAGUUUAAAGGUGCUAAGUGAAAUUAUCACAAACUCAAGGGAAGUUUCUGAAUUUAUUCCUGAAAAAAAUUACGUCGGGUUUGCGGAGACCAAUAAGUACUGAGUUUAGUGAGAUCUCAAGUUGCCUGAAGGAUGGACUAUCAUUGGCAAUCGGCAAAUAAUGCAGUAUGGCAGGGCAGUUGGCUGACAUGUUCAGAGCAUUGCUGCGAAGUAAAUUGAAACGAAGGGAAAACCUUAUACGCAGGCAAGAAAGUCAUUAUCCGUAUGAACAAUAUAAUCCAAAAAAGAAAAACCCAAAAAGAGUUAAUCCAUUUUAUUUUUUCUCCAGAAAAAAUAUUAACCUAAGAGAUUAUUGUCAAGUCAUCAUAUAUAUAUAUAUAUAUAUAUAUAUAUAUAUAUAUAUAUAUAUGCAUAUUUUGGGGAAGAUUUCUCUUGCAAUACUUGUCUAUCUAAGGAAGAGUCACGCAUUCUUAUAUGUCCUGCUUCGCCAUAGUAAAAAAAGUGAUUGUUCAUAUCAACAAUAGAAUCUGAAAAAAAUGAAAAAGAGUUAAUUCUUUUUAUAUUUUUCUCCAAAAAAAUAUUAACCUAACAUAUUAUUAUCAAAGCCAUGUCCUUGUGUGCGUGUGUAUAUAUUUUUUUGGGAAGAUGUUUUUUUUUAUGUUUCUCUUACAACACUUACCUAUCUAAAGGAAGAGCCACGUGUUCUUAUUUGUCCAGCUUCGGCCAUAGCCAAGAAAGGGAUUAUCCAUACAUUAAUAUAAUCCAAAAAACAAAAAAAAAAGUUAGUUCUUGUUUCCUUUUAUUAUCCAACCAUGUCCUUGCCUUGUAUAUAUAGAUAUAUAUAUAUAUAUAUGUUGCAUUUUUCUGUUCCUCUUUACCACACUUGCCAAUCUAAGAAAGAGCCACGUGUUCUUGUUUGUCUUCGACCAGAGCCAAGAAUGCUCAAAACCAAAUUUAAAGCAGAAGAAGACGGAAGGAGCUUUAACUUUUAGGGUGCGUUUGGUUCAACAGAAUUGGAAUUGAAUUGGAAUUGGAAUUCUAUAGAAUUAGAAUUCCAUGAAUUGGAAUUCCAAAACAUUGAAAUUCUUUUGUUUGGGAAAUGCAUAGAAUUGAUACAGAAUUCAUUUAGAAUUCCAAAUUCUUUGUUUGGAUGGGAGAAGAAUUCAUUACAAUUAGAAUUGUUUCCAACUAACAUUUCCUUACAUAAAAAAUUUCUUUUUUUUUACUAUAUAAUAAUUUUUUAACAUUUAGCUAAUUGUUACUAAAGCUUUAAGGAAAAAGCCAAUUAGUGCCUUUAAUAAUUUAUUUUUUCUUGCAUUUAACUAAUUGUUACUAAAGCUUUAAAGAAAAAAAAACAAAUAAGUUCCUUUUCUGCAAAAAAAAAAAAAUUCUUGUUUUUUUUAAUUAAAUUAUAUUAAAUAAAAAAUUGCUUCCAUUCCCACUUUUCAUGCUCGUAACCUUCCAUUUCCGUUUCAGGCUGGAUAAGAUAUUGUUUCCCCAAUUUUAUGAUAGCACGUAGAACUAUAUUAAAGUAUCUUCCAACUGUCUCACUUGAUCUUAUGAAAUUAAAAUUGACAGUGCGAUUUUUAAAGUUAUGAGCAAGAACAUAGAGAAACAUUGCAACUGCUUCUUCAACAGUAAUAUUUCUAGUAUCCCUCAACCCACAAUGCUCUCUUAAAUUUGUACAUAAAAUAGUAAAAUAAUGUUUAUUGAGUCGAAAUUGCUCUACACAAACUCUAUUGUUUCCAUAGUAAAGACGCCUUAGAUAUAUUUCAUGUGCCUUAGAUAUAUUUCAUGUGCUACUUUAAAGUCCAAAUAAGGCUCCUUUACUAUAUGUUUCUCAUGCCACCAAACUACUAAUGUGGCUACUGUUACCAUAUAAUUUGCAACUACCACUUUUCUCUUUUUUGUUUUUUGCUCGUCUCCUUCCUUAUCGAUGUCAAUAUCCAAAUUCUGCAAUUCAAAAUCACGACAACAAUAAGAAAAGGUAAGUCAAAAGACCAAAUUUUAAAAAGUGAGUCUGUGUUAAAUUCUACAUAGUCAAUUGAAGCUAAAAUGAUAGCUAAAUAAACCUCUGACAUAAUAAUCUGCAAUAAUAUUUUUGCCUUUCGUGAAAUAUUACAUUUACAGCUUGUGAAUACAACUAUUGACAGAAACAAAUAUAUUGGCUUAUACACCUUUAAUACUUUAGAGAUCGCUUAGGAAUUAGCUUUAGUAUUACAAUUUUGUAAUUCAUUAGUUUGUGCAAGUUGUUGGUAAACAUAAUUAUUAGCUUCUGUGAUUCAUUGCUAUGAUCAGGUUAGUGUUUCGAUUUGGUACUGCCCACUUUGCCUUGGAAAAUAAGCUUGGGAAACUAUUACACUCAAUUCUGCGCGUUACAAAACAAAAGAUUAAUUAUCUUCCCCUUGAAACUCCUCUAUAUGUGUGUGUGUGUGAGAUAAAGAUAGCUAUUUACAAUUUCCUAACUAGCAAUGAAUUGCAGGGAAGGCCCAACUGGAUAACAAGCACACCAAAGCUUCUUAAAAAAAGCCAGAAACUUUGGUAUUAUUCCUGCCUAUUUUGCUACAAAUAUGUCAGAGUAAGGCCAGAUUGGGAGAUUAAUUGCACUUCCUACCAAUAACGCAUUCAUGUUACACCACAUUAAGAAUACUGUGAUAACCAUAAGCUUUAAAAUAUGCUUAACAAUUGAUUAUAUAGAGAAACAUACACCAAAGAACUGCAGGACAACUGUUCUAGUUAGUGUCAAAAUUGAACCAUUAUUACCAGGCUCAAUAGUUGAAAUAUGAAAGCCAGAGAUAGAGCUAUAAUUUUCACAUCAAAAAACCUAUUCACAGCAUUCUAAGCACUUGAAAAUAAAUACCUUUAUAAAUACCACACAUACAAGGAAGACUGGAGUGACGAUCUUCAGCCUUUAAGCAUGUCCAACUUCAUGUCAGCCCGCAACUUUGCUAUCAAGAAGAAUGCACCGACCUCACUUUAAUGCAGGACAAGGUUAAACAAGCCUUCCUGUAACAUAUUAGGAACAAUCAAACACAUUUAAAUAUACAUUAAGAGAGAGUGUGUGUGAGAAUUUAUGACAGCAUUAAAUAGUCCAAAACACACAUUCAUCACAUUCCAUGUCCAUUGACGAGAAGUUAGCAGCCUUGAGACGAGACAUAAAAAUUUUUCAGGCCCUGACCCGACAGCAAAUUUUUCCUUUAAGAAAAGAAACAACAAGACAACAAGAUAAAGUGCUCUAUAAAUUGAAGACAAGCAACCAUUGUAAAGCACAAGUGCAGGCAAGCUUUAGCUAAACAUGUCUCUGGCCUUUGUCAGGCAAUACAGGAAGUUCAAACAAGGUUUAGAAAGCUUUUAUUUUAAGCAAUGAACAGAUAUGAAUUAUAAAACUUCACCCUAGAAUUCUUCAAAUUAUCUAAAAGACUCCUAGUAGGAUGAAUUGUUGCUGAGGUAAAUGACUCUGUAUGAUUAAUCAUACAGAGGAGGCAGGGGAAUAAACGUAUAUAUUUUGAAAAUUUUGUCAAAUAAAUUUGUUGCAUAUGACCUGCAGAGAUUGAGCCCCAGAGAUCCUGAACUGCCCUGUUGUUCAAGAUGGCGUCCCAAAUAGCUUUCUGCAGGCAACAGGUUAUAGAAUUGGUUUCAUUAUCAACCAAACCAAACCCCCCCUCUCUUCCCUUCCCUUCCCUUCUUGGCUAAUCAUAAUUUUCUUUUUUUUUUUAAGCAAAAAAUAAUUAUGUGCUAGAAAGAUGCUGGAAAGAUUAAAAGAUUAUUCUGAUAGUAGAUUAUUUUGAUGCUGGAAAAAUUAAGAAACAACUCUUACCAACUUGGCUUGUUAUUUCCUUAAUAUGAUGGGUGUUUAGCUCGAACCACUGGUACUCUAUUCGAGGUUGCCAUGUGUUAGUACAUCUUUAGGCUCAAAGUUCCGCACAGGCCAUUUCGAUUUGGGGCAAUAGUAGCGGCAAAAUCUCAGAGACCAAAAGGUGUUCCUCUGCUGUUGGAGGUCAACUUUGCGUUCGCAUUAUCCUUCCUGGGUGUCUCACAAGCCCUAAAUGUGUCUGAAAUUUGGGGUGGACGAGUGGUGAGAGUGGCGAAGGAUGGAGGAAGUGGCCAGAGAAAUGGAAGGCAGGGGGGAAGACGGUGGUGGGAAAGGUAAGAUAUUAGGGUUGCAGGUGGAAGUGAUGGUGGAGAGCAGAGCACUAGCGGCUGAGGAAAAUGGUGAGUUACAUAGGUAGAAAGGGGUGCCAAUAUCCUUUGACCCGAUUUUAAUUUUUGACCCAUACUAGAUCCGCGUGUGAACCCAUUUAGUUGUGGAAUUGGAAUUAGAAUUCUUUUGAUCGAGUAAAGAAUUCAAUUCAUAGAAUUGGACUCCUAUAGAAUUCAGAUUCAAUUCUAAUUAAGUGAGGGAAGUAGAAUCCAAACAAUGGAAUUGGAAUUAGGACCCCAAUUCCAAUUCUAAAUCCUAAUUCCAUAGGGAACCAAACAUACCCUUAAGAACAUUGGCUUGCAUUGGAAAUAAAAUGGCAGUUUCUUAGACGUUGGAACCAGAGCAUGACCAUUAGUACAUUUUUAGUUGUUGGGAGAAAUAGGCUUUAGCUUUUUUCCAAGGCUGCACUUGCACCAAAUCAUUUCAGACUUUUAUUAAAUUUAACACGCAGAAAUUUAAUCCCUCUUUCACUAAGUACUCCUGGAAGACAGCAACAAAUCACCCAAGUUUUAAAAUGUCAGCGAUCGUAAAAUUCUUCACGGUGACUUAGAUAGCAAGUCAAUAAUGUUGCUACACGAGCCUAGUACGGAGUAUAUUACAAUCCCCAGUACGUAACGUAAUUGUACAACAUUAGCAACGAUAGGUACAAUACAUAUAUAGUACAUUGUUGUUUGGACUCCUAUAGAGCAGGAUAUUAAAACCGAACAACCCAUACCGUCAGCAAACUAAUCGAAGUGAAGUCAGCUCCAUGAAUUUCUGUCUAUCUAAUGUGAUAAUUGACCGCACCAGUAAAGUUCCUUACGGGCAUUUUCUUUGAACAUAAGAAGCUCCAUGUUCCUCGAACCUGUUAAUCAAGAGACAAAAGACUUAAUAUGGGGAGAAAAAAGGAGAAAAGUUUGAGUAUUGAGAGGUAGAGUGGAUGCAAAAGCUUACUCAGAUUUUGAAAACCACAUUUGCUGAAAGGAACCAAGUGACGCCAAUAUACUCCCACCUAUCCAAACACUGAAUGCGACAAGUUAGUCAACGCUUGGUAUGCUAACAUGAAUGCAAAGAAAUAUCCUCUUCAAUCAUAAAGCAGAAGCAAUUUGGUCCAAACAUGCAACUUCGGAGGAAGCACUGAGGCAAGGAAUGCAGGAAUGAAACAAAAGCAUAUCUGCCAGUUACCACCAUGAUUUACCCUCUCCAUAUGGCGAAUUCCUAAGUGACACGUAACAUCAAUGCUGUAACCUAAUGGCUUUUCUAUUGAGCCACCUCCCAAAGAGAUGCCGAUUUAUGUAAGAAUUCACAAUGUUCAACCAGAAAAUUUGGUGCUUGAAGAAAUGAAAAUAACAUGGGAAGGAAAGGACAACAGCAAUCUACAUCCACCCAUCAACACAAGCAGAAGAUAGAACACAUUGAUUUCCUUUUUUCAUUUUUUUUAAUUUUUUUCCCAUCAAGCAAGUUAGUCUACCUGAAUCUCCUUUCCGUUGCAUUUCCACUUGCCAAAACUUUCACUCUAGCUGCUUGAGGAGAUUCCUGCAAACGGUAGACCCAGACAUAAGAAAAAUCUCAAGCAUUAACUAAAACCACUGGACAAACUUGAAUUUUCACGUUGCAAUAAGCUGUGUAUUCUCUCAACAUUAAGCAUUUGAUAUCAGAAAUAACCAGAUAGCCGCAUGUCUGAUCUUUCUUCCUUCCCUUUCUUUCAUCUUUUCCUUCAUCACACAACUUUGGGCUUCUGAGUUUCCUUUUUAUUUUCCCUCUCCUCUUUUAGGGAGAGUACCAGAACAAGGACUUCUUUUUCUUUUAAAUACAGAAAUCUGACUGAAAAAAACCUACCUCUAGCAAAUCUUUCUCCAGACGUUCCUUUAACUGUUGCAUGGAUGCAGUGCCACCAGCAAGCUGUGUAAGGUUGAAAUCAAAUCAGAUACUAUAUGAUCCACUCUUCUAAGUACAAGAUAUGUUUCCUAAAGACAACACAAAAGGAAACUAUGCAAAUACGAUGAUCUGGGGGACAGAACAGAAACUUGAGUGGAAGUCAUCAUCUUUAAGAGUCAUUGAGCUAAACAAGCUUAAAAAGAAGUUAGCAAAAGCUAAAUAUAACAGCAGGAAUCCUUGAUGUGCAUCUGCACUGGAAAAAGGACAAAAAAUAAUAUCCUGCUACUAUAGGAAUAUCAUCAGAGUGAAAAAGUAGAAAUUAAGUGAGAUGUCUGAGUUUGUGGAGAGGGGCAAAUUUAUUGGGACACAGCCAAUUUAUGCAUAAAUACUAUGAAGAGAAUAUAUGGGAAGCUGGAAAUCCAAGGAAAAAGGGGAACAGCUGCAACAUGAAGCACUACAUACAAGGUUUACCUCACUAAAAUUGCAGAGAUUUUAGCUAAUCAACAGGGGAAAAAAUAAUUUACUGUCGACAGAAAAAAAAAAGUCUAGAUAACAGCCUUAUACAUUUUGGUGUAAUUAAGGUACUUAUUCACAUUGAAGGGUUGAAAAUUUACCAGUAUACUGCUGAAGAGUUCUCUCCUAAUAUCCACAUCACACUUAUUUAUGCUCUCCAAGACCUGAAGAAUUUUAGAAGGAUAUAUUGUAAAAGUAAAAAGAGAAUAAUGGUAGCUAGAUCCCCAGCUCAUGGAUAAAAGUGCAAAAUGACAGGAAUUACCAUUUGUGGCAGGCCACGAACAGAAGAAACAGUCUCGGCAAAAUUCUCCAUACCAGGAAUAGUCUGACAGAUUAGAUCAUGUCAGUAAAUGGAAUUUCAAAUCAAACCAAAAGCAAUCAAGAGAAUUCAAAAUGCAUCAUAUGUCAAAAAAACUCAUCAGCAUCAUUUGUCAAAAUCCAUCAUUUGUUUCUCUAGUUAUUUGAUAAUUUGAACCAAGACAGUAGAUUAGUUAAUCUAAACUCAUCAGUAUAAAGGUCUCUAAAAGUAGCCCAAGCAAUGAGGCAUAUGUUUAGGCAAUUCCGGCCAGUGCUAAACAAGUCUAAUAUAGCAGCAAACCUCAUCGCCUCUUGUCUUUAUAAGCAAGAUUUAUUGGACAAUGAAUGUCCCAACAAAUGAUGAGAAAGACCUCCUAAAGGCCAGAGCAGGAAACUGCCACAAGCCCUUACUUAAUUCUUUGCUAGAUGUGCAUUUUCAGACCAUCUUCAUUUUCCAAUGGCAAUUAAUAAAGUCCUAAAAGCCUAGCCAAGAAAAGGAUAUCCAUGUUGAGCCAAACAAUUUGAGCUAUGAUUCUCCAACCGUGCAUGGUUUACGAGAUCUGCAUACUUAAGAAUAUUCUAAUGACGCUUAAAUUUCAAAGCAGAGAAGAAGGGUAAAAGUUUAACCUGCAUACGUUACGACAAGCUCCACAUGUUCUGAGAACAUGAAAAUAACUAAAUCCAAUUGGAAGAACUUUUAAGGCUGAAAAAUAUAAAAUUACAAAUCUAACUAUAAGCUUCAACUCUUAGGGCGGAGAAUUGGUCAAACAAAUUUAUAAUUUUUAACAUGCAUAUCAUUCAAGGAUUAGAUUAUCUUAGUAAGCUCGUGCUGUGCAAUAUAUAUAAGUUCAGGAUACUCUACUAAUUUUAUGUGAUGUAGAUACUUAAACUAUUUGUCAAGUCAGUGAAAGACAAACAUGAUGAAAAUCAUAGGGGAGAAGGGAGAGUCGAGAGGUGAAGCAUAAUGCAAAGAAAAAUACAUUUUUUUCUUUCAAUCUGGGAUACAUGUACGCUAUACUUCCCCCUUGAGCAAAAGCACAAAAAUCUCUUAAUACUAAGCUCAAAAUAAUAGCACGUAAAAAAAAAUACUCCAAAAGGCUUGCAGAUUAUGUAAACCUGAAGAGUCAAAUUUGCACUCAUGAUUAUAAAUGGAAAAGCGGCAUAGGAAAAAGUUUCAAAACCACCUGAGCCAAGGAUGGGUUGAAAAGAAUAUCAGGUGCCUUGAAUCUGUCGGCUCCAAUUUCUAUUGUCCUGGAUUAAUAAACAAUGAACUUAGAUGAAAAGGAAGUGCCAGUAAGAAAAUAGAAGUACAGAGAAAGCUAUGAGAUGCGGUAAGACCUAGAUUAUCAAUGGCCUUGUUAUAUAUCACCCCAGGUAAAUCAUGAAAAAGUUAAUGGAACAAGAACAACUCAUUAAGAUGUUGUCGCGCCCCAUUUUUUGAUAAAUAAAUAAAUGAUUUUAAAAAAUGUAUUUUUUGAUUGGAAAAUGAAUUGUGAUUUAAAAGAAAAAUGGGUCUAAAUGGGGGUUUGAGAAUGCGACGAUUUGACCCAAAAUUAUAGUUUAAAAAGGGUUUUAAAAAAUUGGAGUCGCCACUUGGUAAUGAGUUAAGGUGUACCAAGUCACCAAAAAUGAAUUUUUAAAGAAAAAAUAGGAAAAAGUAGUAAGAAACCCCUUUUAAACGACUCCUAGUCCACGUAAACCAAAGAAAAAGGUUCGGGAGUCACAUUUGACAAAGGGGAAGGCAAGGAUAAAAUCCAAGGCACCCCUUCGACCUAGCCAAGGCUAGUUGCGUGAUUUAAUCAAAGAUUUUCUUGUUUUAACCAAAGAAUUUAUUACAUUUGGAUGUGCUACAUGAAUGCAAACCCUAGACCUAGGGGUAUUGGGGGAAAUUUCUCUUCAACGGUUGAGUGGUGCCAAUCACAUUAAUUGUGAAGCCCAAUAACAAUCCUUUGAAGAAGUCACGAAUAAUGCGAGUGGGAUGCAAAUGAAUGGAAUGCAUGUAUGCAAUGUGAGGACAUGAGUUUGAAAAAGUAAUAAAAGACAAUAAAUAUGUAAAUGAAAAUGUGCACGUGAGUGGGUAAGGUACGGUAUGUGAAAUGAUAACAUGAAGUGCAUGUGUGCAAGUGAUGAUAAAAGUGUUCGCGUGCAAGUGAAGAAACAUAAAGGUGCACGUGUGCAAAAUGGGAGGAAAAGUGUUCAUGUGCAAGUGAAGGGAUAAAAAGGUGUACGUGUGCAAAUGGGAGGAAAAGUGAAAGUGUAAUGAUAGAGUGGACUUAGAAUGCAUGAGCCUAGGGAAUUCAUGCAUAUUGGGACGGGGAGACCUAAAUCGUGACUCAAUUUGCCCUUUUAUAGAGGGAAUACAAGCGUGCUAAGGCUUAGAAAAAGCCACACUCGUCUAUAUCCCAUAUUUAAGGGGACUCUCAAGCAAAUGAACCCUAUAACUAGCAUGAAAUGCAAAAAUCCUAAAAUGAGGGAAAAGGGGUUCGAGGAGCAUGCUAAAUGAUAAAACUAAAAAGAAUGCAUGACAUGUAAUGAACAUGCAAAUAUGUACUAACGAGGGGAAGUCCCUAAGGGUCUAGCGUUGGACUAGCCCAUUCUAUGAAUUCCGACUAGCGUUGGACUAGCGGAAACGUACAUUCAUCCAUCACAUUCAUUCAGGGAUAUGGAAAGCGAGUAGACAUGUCAAUCACAUAGCACAUAACACUUAACAUGCAUAUCUAGAUGCCAAAACCUAAGAAAGCGAUUAAACAUAUAGCACAUAGACAUGCAAGACACAUAAGGUAAUUAAGGCCCUAACUAUUACAUUUGCUAGCUAGGCACAUGUCUUCAACAGAUCUUCAUCGAAUGCUCCUCCAAGCCCUAUCUAUUACAAACCAAGAGGUGUACACAUACCCCAUAAAGAAUAACUUAAAUAAAAAGCAAAAGUAAAUGAAGUAAAUGAAAGAAAUUAAAGAAAGGCUAGGAAAGCAACGUAAGCAUGCAAUUCACACUUAGCACGUUGGAUCACAUAGGAGAAAUGAAAAUCAAGGAGAUAGAGGUUACCUCCCUUGCAAUUGGGUCUCAAUGAAGUGAAAUUAUUCAAUUACCCUCCAAAAUAAUAAAAAGGUCAAUGCACCACUUUAUUUAAGAAAAAAUAAAAGAAAUGUGCAAAACAAAGCUCACUUAGUCAUAAAGUCCCUAAAGUCAUAACUUAAGCGCAAUUUAAACAAAGCAUAGUAGUUAAUUGAAGCAAACAAGCAAUGAAGUUGCACAAAUUAAAAUUAACAAGGACCAAAUUGAUGAAAUUCUCUAAUUGAUUGGGUCAUAGUGAAAUAAGGGGGAACUUGGGGGGUCAAAGUGCAAUUUUUAGAAUAUAUUUCAUGCAUGCUACGUAAAUCUCUUUGUUUUGCUGGUUCCUUUCAUCUGCAACAUGCUAAACUUCUCAAAUACAAUCCUAAUAUGCAACUAACAUCUCACCAAUCAAUCAAAGCCAUCGGCAUUAAACUAAAAACUAACACAGAAUUCAACAAGCCAACAAAUUAUGAUAAGAUAAUGUGAAUUCCAGCAAUCUUUCAUGCAAACUCAAGAAGAUUUCUGCAAACGGAAAGUGCAAGCUUGCUACAUUUUUGCUUCUACAAUUUUUACUGCAAUGUUCAUUCCAGAAUUUUUCCUCUCUGCAGCGUUAAGCUCUCAGAUGCAAGUUUCUUCAAACAAAAAAACAGCAACGACCCUCACUCAAUCACCAUGAUACUAUGUGUGAAAGGAAGAUUCAGACCAAGGAAAAACAUUGAAAUUUCUGGUUCAUUCCAAGUUAUCUUAAAUCAAGAUUUGCUGCUGCAAUUUCGUAAGCAAUAGUACCAUUUUCUCAGCUCAAACAUCAGGAAUCUAAGCAAUGAAAUGCACCAUUUUGACCUCCAAAUAAAUAGCAAAGUGAAGCCACAGAAACACAAUCCUUUAAACAAAACAGUUCUGAGGAGUCUUUCAUGCAAAAACAUGCAGCCAUGUAAAGACUUAGACUUCUGCAACAAAAGAACGAAACAUGCUUCCUUUUGUUUUCCAAGUUUGCUGCAAUUUCCAGCAGCUACUCUAUCCAUUUCCUCAUACAAACACAUUCAUCAAAACCAGAAAUUAUUGACCCAAAUCAAAAGAUGAGGUUUUGUCUGCAAGAUUAAGAUAACCAAUCUGGUUUGAUUGGUAACAAAAGAAAGAAAGGAAACUGCAGCAAAAAUCUUCUUUCGACAACCAAGGACUAAGCAAAAAUGCUGGUCUCUACUACUAAACUCCCAAACACUCUCACAACAUCUCAGCUGAGCAACGGACAAAUCAAGCAUUUCAAACAACAUGAAAACUUCAGCAAACGAAAGUGAUGCCUGCUGCAUUUUUGUUUCCUAAUUCAAGCUUCCAAUUCGAACACCCAACUUUUAUUAGAUAUUUUCAACUCCAACAUCACAGCUUUAAACUAAGCAAAUUAACUACAAAACCACCCCAAUCCAAACAAACAAAAUCCAGACGGAAGCCAUGCAAAAUUCUGGAAAAUAUGUGUGCAAGAGUGAUUCAGCAAUCUGAAAUGGUCCUAGACUUCUACCUCAAAACUUAGUUUAAAACCGAACCACAACCCAAAGCUGGAAACCUUCGGCAAUUUUCCUCCGACCAAAACACUAACAUAUAAGAUACCAACUCAUUUCCCAAAUUCCAGAUUUAUUGGUAUUCAAACAAAAGCCAUCAUUCAUAUUGGAGCAAAACAGAAUCAGUACACGGCAAAGAAAUACGAGCAAACAACUAAAGAAGAGAGCUUUCAACUUUAAAAGGAAAAUACGAUACCUUAAUCAAAGAAUGGAGAAAGGGCUCGGAUGAUUCGGACAACCCUUCAAAGAAGCAUCAAUGAAGAAGCGAUGGUGAUAACGCAAUUACCUCCUUCUGACCCUUUUCCUUUGCUCCGACGAACCAGAAAUCUUUUCUUCCUUCCUUGCUCCUUGUGGUGGUUGAAACUUCUCAGCCUUUGUUACCCAAAACCUCCCCUUUUUCUGUUAAACCCCAGCUCCUUCUAUCUCUCACGCUCUUCCUCUCUCUUGCUCACUCCAGAUUUUCCAGCCGCCCCUUUUUCUAGCCGUAAAACCCUCAAAAAUUUUCUCUCGGUUGUUUUCAAUUUUCCCUUUCAGCCCUCACUUUCUUUGGUCUCUGCCUCUUCCCGUUUUCUCCCUCUACCGUCGCCCCCUUUGGUUCCGAUUUUUCUCACUUUUUCUCCUUAGACUCCCUUUCUCUUAGCCCGUUAAUGCUCUCCCCAAAACCUCCUUCAAAAGCUGCGUUUUUCUAUCCCUUCCCCCCUCUUGCGGCUGUCCCCUCUUUUUCUAUUUAUACCAGAAACCCCCUCCUAAACCCUUAACAACUUCCUCUGUAUUUGCAGCUAAGGAGCUGCCUCAAAGUUCCUUUGCAAGCUGCAAAAACGCAGCUUGCAUGCACGAAGCUUUUUUUUCUUUUUUUUUAACUUAAUAAAUACAGAAUAUAAAUAAUAAUAAUAACAAAAUGACAAAACCAUGUAAUAAUAAUGAAAACAAAUAAAUAAAAAAAACAAAUUAAACAAAUAAAAACAACAAAAAUGUCCAUUUUUCAAAUUUUCUUCAUUUUUCCUUUUUUCCUUUUUUCUUUUCUUUUCUCAAAAGAACUUAAUAAAAAUAAACAAAAUGCCAAAAGAUUGAAUUUAGAAGAAAUAAAACAUAUUUUGUGGGCAAUUUUCUUUUUUUUCUUCUCUUCUUUUUAUUUUCAUUUUCAUUCAUUUUCCAAGAAAUUCUAUGCUAAAAACUUAAAAAUAAAAAUAAAACUAGAAACUAAAAAUAAAAAUCAAAUAAAACUAAAAUGAUAAAACUAAAAAUGUAAUUACACCAAAAUUUGGUGUCUACAGAUGUGUCACUUACAGAUUCUAAAAAUGUCUGUAUCCUGUAAAAAACUUUCAAGAUAGAAACAAGGCUUUAAUUACAAAACUUACUGUCCAUCAGGAAGCUCAUAAGAUGUCAUUGGUAUGUUCGAGUAUGAACUAUCUGAAAAGAACAAAAGACCAAGAUUAUUUGUAAGUGUUUUUGUUAUUGCACUACAAUUAACAUGAUGAAACCACUAUAAAUAGGAGCACAUCUUACAUGAUCAACUAAUUAUAAUGCAUUAGCAAGAUUCCUGAACAAAGAUAGGAAGGAAGUCGGCAGUGGGUCUGCCGGAUUAAAUAAUAAAGCAAAAGAUUAUGGCAUGUGCUAAAGAGAAGCAUUAGGCUUUUUGUUGGAUCAUGACGACUUGUAAUACAGGAAUGUUUAAGUUUGCUCUAUCCCUGCCAAAUUUUCACAAGUGAUAUUAUUGGUAGCUGCCCUUGUUCAUGUAGACUUUCUAAGUGCUCAGACUUGGCUCUUACUGUGUCCAGGCUCUCCCCUGAAAAAUAGUAUGUACACUUUCUAUACUCUUCUAUCCUAGGUUAUAUAUAUUCCCAAUAAUGAGUCAAUAAAUGCAAGAUCAAAUGAAGUUCAAACAAUGCACCAAAGCAGUACUAACCAUCAUAUGGAGUAUCAGGAGCUCGACAUACACAUUCUUUGAUAUCACUAGCAAUUACUCUCUGUUAAAAGAAAGUCACAAUUAGUAGCAGAAGAAAAAAGGGUACAAGUACAGAAUAAAUGUAGAUUUUGGUCAGUCAGUAACCUGGCAAUAGAGUUUGUAACUCUCAGUUGUAUUUGGAAAAUCAAGAUCUACUGUCUGUAUGACUCAAUGAACAAUCCAUACAAUGUAAUAAGAACCACAAGCAUAGUAAUCAGUAAAAUCAGUACAAUAUUAAGCCUUCAGAGAAAAGAAAGUAGAAAGUAAUUACAUUAGCUUCAGUUUACAACCUUGUUUAGUAUUUACUUUAACAGCAUUGCCUAUGAAAUACAUGAGCUUGUAAAAUAGUAAAUAUCUGUAAUCACUUGAUUCCACACUGGAAAUGUCAAAAAUAUAACCAGUAAGCUUUUCCAUUGUUUAAGCUUUUAAGAAGACUUGCUAUUUAACAUCAUAAGCGUAGGUUAAAGGUACAGCCACCGCAUGCUUGCACUUCAUACACCUGUUAAAACUAAAAUAAAGGCCACAUUUGUGGAGCUUUUUAGAGAUAAAAAUAAAGCAGAUCGUUCACUGGAGACCAGAUUAGCAUUUUGCAAGGCUGUACAAUGAAAUUGUCGAAGAUAUUAUCUCCUAUGAUUAUGGGAGAUAUUAUCUUCCAUAAUUAUCUCCCAUGAUUAUGAGAGAUAUUACCUCCCAUGAUUAUGGGAUUUUAUUGCUUAUGAUCAAUCAGGUUUGAAUAGAUAGGAUAUGAGUUGAUUAUGUAAUCCCUAAAAUCAUGGUUCUAUUACCUUAAGUGGUGGCAGAACUAUGAUAGGGUUGUCCUAUAAAUGCCUACCUUGUAAGCAUAUUUAGGUGUGGGAAAAUAAAGAAAAGUAGAGUUUUUUGUUCAUUUUUCUUUUCUUUUAAAGUUUACAUGGUAUCAGAGCUCCGGCUCUGUACCAAUCCCUGCCAUGAACUACCGAGCAGCCAUGACUGGAUCGACUGCUCACACAAGAGAAGACUCAUCCUCAUCUUCAGUAGUUAUCCAAACUACAGAUUACUCCGCUUCAAAUUCUUCUUCCCUACAAAUAACCGUUCAUAAAUUAAAUGGUUCCAAUUAUCUGGAAUGGGCUCAAUCCGUAAAACUGGCUAUCGAUGGCAGAGGUAAACUCGGCCACCUUACUGGAGAAAUUCAACAACCAGCUGCUGAAGAUCCCAAUUUGAAGAGAUGGCAUUCAAAGAACUCUCUAGUUAUCGCUUGGUUGAUAAACUCUAUGGAACCAGCGAUAGGAAAGCCACACUUAUUUCUGCCCACAGCCAAGGAUGUGUGGGACGCUGUCCGGGAUAUGUAUUCCGAUAUAGAGAAUUCGUCUCAAAUUUUCAAUCUCAAGACGAAAUUGUGGAAAUCAAGACAAGAAGAUAGAGAUGUUACAACCUACUACAAUCAGAUGGUAACUUUAUGGCAGGAAUUGGAUCUUUGUUAUGAGGAUGAAUGGGACUGCAGUGCAGACAGUGUUCGAUACAAGAAACGGGAGGAGAACGACAGAGUCUAUGUCUUCUUGGCCGGACUAAAUCAAGAACUUGAUGAGGUGCGAGGUCGUAUUUUGGGCAGGAAGCCUCUCCUCUCCAUUCGUGAAGUAUUUUCUGAGGUCAGAAGAGAAGAAUCAAGGCGUAAGGUGAUGCUAAAGUCCAAGGCAGAGGAUGAAGUUGAGACUUCAGCAUUGGUUUCUAAGGGGACAGAUUUGGACGGAGAUAAAAGAAGGAAGCCUUGGUGUGAACACUGUAAAAAGUCGUGGCACACAAAGGACACGUGCUGGAAAUUACAUGGGAAACCAUCGAAUUUCAAGAAGAAAAAUGGAGGUGAUAGCAAGGUGUUGCAGACUGUGAAUGAGGAUUCUCAAAAGCAACAAAUUGACUCUGAGACACCAGCCUUCACAAAGGAACAAUUAAGCCAACUAUACAAACUCUUUAAGUCUCCACAAUUUUCAGUCACUGAGCCAAAAAGCUUCACUCCUUUCUGUUCUUUUGCUAAAAAUGGUAAUCCUUUUACUGUUGCUCUUUCAUGUAAAACAUCAAAUGCAUCUUGUCCACGAAUUGUAUGGGUUAUUGAUUCUGGGGCCACUGACCAUAUGACUAGUUUGUCACAAUUAUUUUCUACCUACAGUCCAUGUGCAGGCAAUAAAAGGGUCAAGGUUGCUGACGGAUCAUUAUCCGUCAUAGCUGGCAUAGGUUCCGUUGUCAUCUCUCCUACUCUAACACUUCAUAGAGUUCUUCAUGUUCCAAAGUUAUCAUGCAAUUUGCUGUCCAUAAGUAAAUUAACUAGGGAUCUCAUGUGUCGGAUUAAUUUUUUCCCCUCUUUUUGUGAGUUUCAGGAACUGACCACGGGGAGGAUGAUUGGAUGUGCUAGAGAAAAUGGGGGACUUUACUUCCUUGAAGAUGGAUCAGAUAUGACAACACCAAUCAAAAACACAUGUUACGGGUCUGUCUCUAUUACUAGUAAUAAAGAGAUUAUGUUAUGGCACUUUAGACUAGGACAUCCUAGUUUUUAUUACAUGAAAUACUUAUUUCCAGAUUUGUUUAAGAAUAAAGAUUCAUCUUCUUUUCAAUGUGAAAUCUGCGAAUUGGCUAAACAUCAUCGGUCUACAUUUUCUAUACAUCCUUAUCAGCCCUCAAAACCGUUUUUUCUAUUACAUACUGAUGUUUGGGGUCCCUCUAGAAUUUCAACUUCAUCUGGAAAAAAAUGGUUUGUUACAUUCAUCGAUGAUCACACAAGAGUUUGUUGGGUGUAUUUGUUAAGAGAGAAAUCAGAGGUUGCAAGUGUGUUUCAAAAAUUCUACAGCAUGGUUUUGACACAAUUUCAAGAAAAAAUCAAAAUUGUUCGGAGUGACAAUGGAAAAGAAUAUUUCAAUAAAAUUUUGGGAAGUUUUUUUCUUGAAAAAGGGAUUGUGCAUCAAAGCUCCUGCAAUGAUACCCCACAACAGAAUGGGGUAGCUGAAAGAAAAAAUAAACAUAUUUUAGAAGUGGCGAGGGCAUUACUUUUUUUCAAGAAAUGUUCCUAAAUAUCUAUGGGGCGAAGCAAUUUUAACUGCUAUAUAUCUCAUAAACAGAAUGCCCUCAAGAACCUUGAAUUUCCAAACUCCUCUGAAUUUUUUCAAAACAAUUUAUCCCAUGUCUCGAUUAGCAUAUGAAGUCUCAUUAAAGGUGUUUGGGUGCAUAGCCUUUGUUCACAAUCAUGAACAAGGUCGAAGUAAGUUAGACCCUCGAGCAAGAAAAUGCAUUUUUGUUGGAUAUGCACCCACGCAAAAGGGGUAUAAAUGCUUUGACCCCAUUUCGAAAAAAAUGUUUGUAACCAUGGAUGUAACAUUCUUUGAAAAUAAACCUUUCUUUGGAGAUCCUCUUCAGGGGGGGACUCGGUAUGUAGAAGAACCUGUAGAAGAUGAUGAUGUUUUUCGUAUUGAAAAUCAAAUUUCUGAUCAAAAUUUUGUUGAUAGGAGAAUUGAUUUUUCUGAUUUUUUAGAAGAAUCUACAGCACAAUUUCCUCAACAAGAAUCUUUUCAAGAUAAUAAUCCUGAAAAAUCAAAUGACACUCUUCAAUUUGCCCGUCAAAAGGAUUUUGAAAAACGUGAAAAAAUUGAUCAGGGAUUAGAAGAGGAUCUCUUGUCUUUAGUGCCAAUAACAGAGUCGAAUUCUCUUAGUGAAAGAGAUGGGAAUGUAACUGAAAAAACCUUGACAACCUACGUCAGGAAAAAUCAUCGAGGAAAAGAUAAAGCUCCCCCUUCUCUUCACAACAAGGAAUCCGAACCUAGGGCAGUUUUUGAUGUUUUUGAGUCAUCAAAUAAAGUUUCCUCUGAUUCAAAGAUUGCUGAUCUGGAUCUUCCUAUUGCAUUUCGAAAGAGAGUGCGUUCUUGUACCAAACACCCUAUGACUAACUAUGUCUCUUAUGAAAAGUUAUCCCCUACCUUCUUGACAUUUACUUCACAACUUUCUUCUGUGGAAAUUCCAAAGAAUGUACAGGAAGCAUUACAAGUUCCAGAGUGGAGAAAGGCUAUUGAAGAAGAGAUGUAUGCUCUUGAGAAGAAUCAAACAUGGGAAGUAACAAACCUGCCACAAGGGAAAAAGACGGUAGGGUGUAAAUGGGUCUUUACCAUCAAGUAUAAUUCCGAUGGGACAUUGGAACGGUACAAAGCUCGAUUGGUGGCUAAAGGGUUUACUCAAACCUACGGGAUCGAUUAUCUUGAAACUUUUGCUCCAGUGGCAAAAUUAAACACUAUUAGGGUGCUUCUCUCAAUAGCAGUAAACCUUGAUUGGCCACUCCAACAACUUGAUGUCAAGAAUGCAUUUUUAAAUGGUGAUCUGGAGGAAGAGGUGUACAUGGAUUCUCCCCCUGGAUUUGAAGGGAAGUUUCAGUCUAGAGUUUGCAAGCUAAAAAAAUCGUUAUAUGGUCUCAAACAAUCUCCUAGGGCCUGGCUUGAAAAAUUUACUAGGUCGGUAAAGGAUCAAGGCUAUAUCCAAGCUCAAAGUGAUCACACCAUGUUUGUUAAACACUCCAAGGACGGGAAGAUAGCAGUACUCAUUGUGUACGUGGAUGAUAUCAUCCUCACAGGAGAUGACUUAAUUGAGAUGGAACGGCUGAAGAAAAGUCUUGCUUCUAGCUUUGAAAUCAAAGAUUUGGGAACACUACGAUAUUUCUUAGGGAUGGAGGUAGCUUGGUCCAAGAAGGGCAUCGUUGUGUCCCAACGCAAGUAUGUUUUGGAUCUUUUAAAGGAAACAGGGAUGAGUGGAUGUCGACCUGCAGACACUCCUAUGGUCCGUUUGGAUUGAGUGUUUUUGCACCUGUUUUUGAAAAAUUGUUUUUCACAUUCCAAAUGCUACAGUAAAUGUGUAUUUCAAAAACAAUUUCAAAAACACCAUAUCCAAACAAUAUAUAAAAAACAACUCCAAAUAUAUUUCAAUUAUGUAUAUUUAAUUUGUAUAUUUUAAUAAGUAUAUUUCAAUUUGUAUAUUUUAAUUAUGUAUUUUAAUAUGUAUAUUUCAAUUAUAUUUUAAUAUAUUUUAAUAUGUAUAUUUCAAUUAUGUAUUUUAAUAUGUAUAUUUCAAUUAUGUAUAUUAUAUAUAUUAUAUUAAUAUAAAUAUAUUUAUUUCAAUUAUGUAUAAUAUUAUAUAUAUUAUAUCAAUUGAAAUAAAUAUUAUAUAUUUAUAUAAAUACAUUUAUUUAUAUAUAAAUUUAUAAAUACAUUUAUUCAAUUUUGUUUUAUAAUAUAUAUUAAUAUAUAUUAAUAUGUAUAUUUCAAUUAUGUAUAUUAUACAUAAAUUAUAUUAAUAAUAAUGUAUGUUAUAUAUAUUAUACAUUUCUAAUAUUAUAUAUUUAUACAUACAUAUUAUAAAUAUUUUAUUUAUAAUAUAUUUUUAUAUAUUUAUAAUAUAUUUACAUAAAUAUUAUAUGUUAUAUAAAUUAUAUAUAAUAUAAUAUAUAAUAUAUUAUACAUUUAUAUAAAUGUACAUUUAUACAUAAUAUAUAAAUAUUUAUGUAUAUUUAUAAUAUACAUUUAUAUUAUGUAUAAUAUAUAAUAUAACACAUUUAUACAUUUAUAUUAAUAUACAUAAUAUUAAUUUUACAUUUAUACAUAAUAUUAAUACAUGUAUAUAUUUAUAUUAAUUAUAUUAAUACAUUUCUACAUAAUAUUAAUAUAUAUUUAUAAUUUAUUAAUUUAUACAUUUAUAUAAUAUUCAUUUAUAAUUUAUACAUUUUUAAUAAUAUACACUUAUACAUUUAAAUAUACAUUUAUAUUAUGUAUUAUAUAUAAUAUAAUACAUUUAUACAUUUAUAUUAAUAUACAUAAUAUUAAUUUUACAUUUAUACAUAAUAUCAAUACAUAUAUACAUUUAUAUUAAUUAUAUAAAUACAUUUCUACAUAAUAUUAAUAUAUAUUUAUAAUAUAUUAAUUUAUACAUUUAUAAUAUUCAUUUAUAAUUUAUACAUUUAUAAUAAUAUAUACUUAUAAUUUAUAAUAUAUUUAUAAUAUUCAUUUAUAAUUUAUACAUUUAUAAUAAUAUACACUUAUACAUUUAUAAAUAUAUUUAUAUUAUGUAUUAUAUAUAAUAUAAUACAUUUAUAUAUUUUUAUAUGAAUAUAUAAAUAUAUUUAUUUAUAAAUAUCUAUUAAUGUAUUAUAAAUGCAUAAAUGCAUAUUUAUAUAAAAAUAUAAAAAUUAUAAUUUAUAAUUUAUACAUUUAUAUAAUAUUCAUUUAUAAUUUAUACAUUUAUAAUAAUAUACAUUUAUACAUUUGUAAAUAUAAAUGUAUUAUAAAUGCAUAAAUGUAUAUUUAUAUCAAAAUAUAAAAAUUAUAAUAUUCUAAAAAUAUUCAAAAAUAUGUUUCAAAAAUACCUCUAAAAAUAAUCCAAAAAAAUCUACAGAAAAAGUUUUUCAUAUAGUUUUUGAAAAACAACUAAUCCAAACGGACUUGUUUUUCAGAUUCAAAAUGCUACAGUGAUGUUUUUGAAAACAAGAUGAAAUAUUGAUACCCAACACUAAUUAAAACAUGAUGGACGGUGAACUAAAAUGUCUUAGUGGCAGACACAAUUCUAGGUAAAUUUCCAAUGGAGUUUAGGCUAAAGUAAAUUCGUAAAAUGCAUAAAUCAGAAAAUUGAGUCAGAGCCUUACUUGUUCAAGGUGUGAAGAUGAAAGAUUAUCCAUUUUCAGAAACAGGCGCCUUAGGGUAAAGCCCUUCGCUAUCACUAAACCCACCCUGGUGGUCACUUUUGUCUAAGCUUCCACCACCGUUACUCCCAUCACCUCCCUCCCGACAGCUCCAUCGCAAGAAAACGUAAUCGGCCUCUCUGAAAUCAUCAAUAGGACUCCACUUGAGGUAAGGCUUAAAUUUUUUCCGUUUUCUUUAAUAUGCCUGUAUAUAUAUGUCACCGGUGCUUCGAAAUAUUAAUUCUUUUUGCAAGCUUUAAGUCGAUAUACUUGUUAUUGAGCUCUGCAAUCGGAAAAUCAUUAUGUUGAAUUAGAAUUUUGUCUACUACUAGGUUAUCUUGUUGCAUUUUCACUGGAUUUUGAAAAUAUACUGCUUGAUUUCGUCGGCAUUAUGAACAAUAUACUGGAAAUCUUGACCUUGACACAAUUGAGAUGCAUAUCAUCCUUAUAUGGUAGAGAUUUUACUUCACUUUUGUGUGGUUCAUAUGGAGCAGACUCGAAAGUGUUCUAUCAAAUGUUUGAUUAAUCUUUUCUUUUCUAAGAUACUAACCGAAUUCAUUACCGUUUUUGAAUUUGAAAUUGGUUGCGGAAUGAAUUCGGUUAUGGGCAAUUUGAAAUUGAAAACGGUUUAGAUUUCUAUAAGUCGAAUAACCGAAUUCAUUGCACCGAAUUACCGAUUUUGCACCGAAUGCACACCCCUAUUGAGGAUAAGAAGAGCAAUUCUUGCAUAACAGAUUUACAAAGUUCUUUUAUUUUCCACUAAAUUGCUAAUUUCCAAAUGUGUAGAAGUUAAAUUUGGGGAUUUUAACUUUUUAUACCUUGGAUGCUGAAUUUCUUUCGAAAUGAGAAUUUGUUGCCUGAGAGCGAGCUAGAAUAUUCCGCUGAGGGAGCUAGAAUGAAGUUGCUAAACCUUAUAGAGGGAUACAUGUUGGAAAAUUCUGUUACUCUCUGCAACUCUGCUCAUUUAGUUUUCCUUUAUUGUGCAGAGAAUAGGACUAUAUGCUGCACUUCACUGUAUAAGGUCUUGUGUCUGGUGAGAUAAGAGCCCUAAUAAGACUAUAUCUAAUGACAAAAAUGAAAUCUCGCACCAUUUGGAGGAUUUUUCUUAACAGGCUGUUGAUGAGACCUGGGCUUUUGAAUCAUGACAUCACUGAAAUAUAUUUUCUUUUCCUAAAUGAAAGAAUGUCUAAAUUAGGCUCACAAUUCUUACUGAAUAAACAUAUUGUUGGUUUUUCCAAGCUGAUAUAUCCACGCAACGCCCUAUUUUGGAAUUCCUAAAAUGAUACAUUCUGAUGUGUUGUGCUGAUUCUUGAUGAAUAAAGUAUCAAGUGGUUAUUUUGCCUGUCAUAUGUUUAACUCCGCUUGACCUGAUUGGAAUUAUGACUCGUCUGGAAAUUUAGGAUUAUAAAUGAAUUCAAGUACCAUUUUGCUACUGAACUACUAUGAGCCAUCUGAACUUCAACUUCUAUUUGUUUUUUGGUGGUGCAAACAAGUGUAGAGUUCCCUUUUCUCCUUCUAAUAUUAGAUCAAUAGCUGCCCUGCCUUCAUUAACAUGACAGAAGAAAUCCAUACAAAAAUCUACAGUAACAUGACAGAUAGGGGUGAGCAGAUCCGGUUCGUACCGAAUUCAUAACCGAUUUCAAAUUCAAUUCGGUAAUUUGAAAUCGGGUAUUUGGUAAUUCGGUUCCAAUUCGGUGAAUACCGAAUUCACCGAAUUCUAAUAUGGUAUAAAAUAGGUAAUGAGAUUAUGAAUUUGGUAAUAACCGAUUUCGAAUUCAAAAUUCGGUAAUUGAAAUCGGGUACCGCAUUACAGCAUUCGAAUACCAAAUUGAUAUAUAAAAUUAUAUAAUAUAUAGAUAAAUGCUAUUUAGUAUUAGUAUAUACUACUAAUACUUUAUUAUAUUAUAUAGGUAAAUGUUAUUAAUAAUAAUUACUAUAUGGUAUUAUUAUCAUAUCAUGUACUUAUAAUACUAAUAAUAUAUAAUGAUGUACAAUAUAUUUAUAUUAUUUUAGUAUUUAUUAAUUGUUAUAUGACUACAAUAAUGCAUAGUAAUACAUUACAAUAUAAGAUAACUAUAAUACUUAUUAUUUUAUACAUGAGUAACAUGGCUAGAAUUAGAUAAUAAUUAAUACAUAUAUGUAUAAUACUAAAUAUUAAACAAUAAACAUAAUUAGUAAUUAGAAUUUAGAUAUUGGUAAUUUGAUACAUCAUUCAUGUUUGAAUUAUUGAAUAUUUGAAUGCGUAAUCUAUAACUUGCAAGUAUUAGUGUACUCUAAAUUUACAUUACAUAUUCACAAAUCUUAAGGCUUUAAGUAUAGAUAAGACAACUAAGCAGUGUAAGUGAAUGUACAUGAAUUGCAAAUCAAUGUAUUAGUGUAUUGACUUUCACAAUAACAUAUGUAAAUAAAUAAGUUUAAUUUUGAUUUGAAAUAAAUUAAAAGUUUGUAACUAACAUAACUUAUCACUAAUCAUUGUAAUUUGUAAGUUUGUAACUAAUAUUACUUAUUAUUAAUCAUUGUAAAUUAUAAAUUCAUAAAUUAUUACUAACCAUUGUACAGUCUAAGGUUUAUUAUAGUUUAAAUUAAUCACUUUUUAUGUGUUCCUUAAAUCAUAGACUAAGGAUUGUAGGUAUAAGUGAUCAAAUAAGUUAAAAGUUCAUAUUAUCUAUUUACUAAUCUUAAAGUUUUAAGUAUAGACAAAAUAACUAAGCAGUGUAAGUGAAUACAUGUGAGUUGCAAAUCCAGUAAUUAAGUUUUAUUUUGAUUUGAAAUAAAUUAUAAGUUUGUAACUAAUGUAACUUAUCACUAAUCAUUGAUUCAUUGUAAUUUGUAAGUUUGUAACUAAUAUUACUUAUGAUUAAUCAUUGUAAAUUAUAAAUUCAUUGUAACUACUAACUAAAUUAGUUUAAAUUAAUAACUUUUUAUGUGUUUCUUAAAUCAUAUACCAAGGAUUUUAGGUAUAAGUGAUCAAAUAAAUGCCAAUUAAACCACAAAAUGAUUUGAACAUAAAUAAUGUGUUCAAUUAUGAAUAAAUUUGGGGAUCAAAUUAGUAAUAAUUUUUAAAUCAUUGAGGAGCAUAAUGAAUGUAUUAUAAUUUAGGAGCCCUAAUUUGUAAAUUUAAAAUUACAAAAUCACUUCAUUUGGAAAAAGUCCGAUUUCAUCUUCAGCUGAUGAAAAUUGAAAAGUGAGAAAACAACCAUUGCAAAUUUGCAAUAUUGCAUAGUGCCGUGACUGCCGUCACCUACGGCUUUCACAGCACUAACACUCCCAAGUCCCAAGUCCCAAUUCCCAAAUCGAAGCUGCUCUCUGCCUCUCCGGCCUCCGCCAGUCCGCCGCGCUCUACGUCUCCUGUUGGCUGUGUCCUGCCGUGCUGGUUCAUCUCUGCCGAGUGUCGAAGACGAAGCACCAAGAUCUCACUAGUUCAUCGCUGGUUCAUCACUGCUCAUCUCUGGCUCACUUAGGUAAGUGCUCCUCUGUUUUUGGCUCUGUGUCUCUGGCAUUAAAAUGGGCCAAGAUCGACUAGGAAAUUUGUUAUCCUGAAUUGAUAAGGGGACGAAAUCUGAGCUUCCAAUUGCAAACUCUAACUGUUGUAGUAGUUUAGAUUAGGUGUGAUAUAACAUAAGCUUUGUAUUUUAUACACAAGAAGCUCUCUCCAGUUGUGCAGCCUUUAAAAGUUAAGGCCUUGGGGAAAAAUUCCACCUUUUACCCGUUAGAAAAAUUAUAAAGAAAAAAACUUGCUAAAAUGAAAAUUUUACCUCCUUGUCCGUGGAGAUUCUCAAUCUCUGGUGCACAUCUAGUGAAAGUACGGCUCCAGAAGUUGUACCUAGGAUUCUGGAUAUGAAUUUUCUGCAAUGUGUAAAAGAGAAACAUCUAAUGGCUUGCGGGGGUUGGUAGUUGCUGAACUAUAAAGAUUGGUUUAUAUAUUCUCUUAAUUUGCUGCAGGUUUUUUUUAAAAUAAUAGAUGAAUUCGGUUAGACCGAAUUCAUUACCGUUUUCGAAUUUGAAAUCGGGUACCGCAUGAAUUCGGUAAUGCCCAAUUCGAAAUUGAAAACGGUUUAGAUUUCUAUAGGUGCAAUAACCGAAAAAACCGAAUUCAGCGCACCGAUUUACCGCAUUUGCACCGAAUGCUCACCCCUAAUGACAGAUGAAAGUUUUCAAAAUGUUAACCUUGUCAAGUUGAUCAACUUCUGUUUUCCCAUUGAAUAGAGGCUGCUUCGCUGAGCCAGAUAAAAGAUUUUAAUUAUCUCAAGUAAAAAAUACAAUAGUGCAUAAAACUACGCUCACCUGUACCACAAAGUAACCACCAAGUUAGUAUAUGGUUUCAAAGGACGUGCUAAUCCAAAGUCACAGAUCUUCAACUCACCACAAUUAUUUAAAAGCAUAUUUGAUGUCUUUAAAUCUCUGUGCAAAACCCAGUUAUCGUGAAGAUACUUAACACCCUCAAGGAAUGCACAAGGCUUUGGGAAUUAACUCCACUCUAGCUAAACGGUUGUUUCAUUGUCUCCAUUAACCCCUUUAGAUCUUUUGGUGACAGUUUCAGUUCCCAAAUACGAAUAGUUUAGACAAUUGGACAUGUAAGUUUGAUAACUAUGUUAACUGUGUGUGUGUUAAUUGUUGGAUAUUGCUCUUAUGUUAAUUGUGGUUUACCAUUUAUAUCUUAUUCUGUGCAUAGGUGUGUGUGUCUUCUAUAUAUAGAACGAAGCUCCGAAAACAAAGAAAGCAAAGACCAAACUCCCCAACCAAAUCGGAACUCCGCCCAAUUUAGCCUUGCAACCAUGUACGGCGGAGGUAGUAUCGUUCUAUCUUUCUCUUUCACGUAGAACACACACUUACAGGCUCAGGCACUCGCUAGCACAGACUUCACUAUGUACCAGUUUAAAUUUGUUUAAUUUAUGUGCGUUUUUCUCUGCUAUGUAUAAAAAAAAUAGAUGAGGUAUCAGCUAUAGUGGUGGACUUAGGCUCACACACUUGCAAAGCUGGUUAUGCUGGCGAAGAUGCUCCCAAAGCCGUCUUUCCUUCGGUAAGCCAUUGCUAGUAGUCUAUUUCAGCUCAAUAUAUUUGCGAAUUUACUGCAUUUAUUAUCAUGAUUUUGCAAUGUGGCUAGAAUUUUACUGUUCUGGAGCUGAAUUUUUCUCCAAGUUUGAAUUUUUUGUUUUACCUUCUUUUGCACCUGAUUUAUGUUAAUCUCAUUCGAGUUUCUUCUCAAUUUAACCAUUAAAGUUUGAUUUUGAUAGUCGUCGUUCUUCUUUUUCUUUUGGUCCUCGUUUGUCAGAUGUGAACUUCUUACACUGGGAGAUUUUAAAGGUUGGAACGUGGAAUCAUGGUUACAAGGAACUGAACCUACAGUUUAAGAAAAAAGAACUAACUAUAGGACAGACCAACCUAAGAAGUUGAUUGUGAACAUAUACAGGGGGAUUAAGUUGUUGUGUUGUUUUACUUUUGCCAUUGUGGAUAGUGCUAAUUUUUCUUCAAUUUACUUUCUUUUGCCUCUUUAAGGAGAAUUUUUUUUGACAAGGCAGUCGAAUAAAAUGGAUUUUAUGCAUGGAAGGAAAAUUGAAGUGCCAACUUGCUAUAGAUUGCAAGGGGAUCUAUGCUAAAGAUUGAAGCUUUAAAUGCCGCCCAUAUGGCAGAAUUAUGGACUUCACUUUUCUGAUAUUCACCAUAUUGCUACACGAGGGGUCUUUGAAGGAUAAGGGUCUUGUUUUGGUAAAAUGAUGCAUCAACUAUUUGAUCAUUUAUCAGGUUGUUACAUUGGUUCUAGAAUCUUAAUGAAGACUUCUCUUUAUCGUGAAUGUGAAGCUUGAUGUAGAUUAAAUACAGGAUAACUGAUGCUUCUAAAACAUACUGGUGAAUGUGGCGUCUAAUGGAUGCACAGUAAACAGCUGACAUAAGAUUUGUAUUGUUUAAGGUUGUUGGAUCAAUUGAUCAAAUGGAAGUUGAUGAGCCGGAUAAUCCAGACAAGAAUUCUGGAUCUGUUCCAGAUUCUAAAUCCAAGGCUAAGCGAAAGUUAUACGUAGGAUCCCAAGCCUUGGGAUUCCGCCGGGAUCACAUGGAGGUCAGUCAGAAGAACAUCUUUUAGAUAGGUUUUGGCUUGCACAUUUAACCUCUUUUCUUAUUGAGCUUGUGAUAUUCUAUUUUCUCAGGUCCUAUCUCCAAUUAAGGAUGGGAUAGUUGCUGAUUGGGAAAUUGUUGAAAGCAUAUGGGAUCAUGCCUUCAAGUAAUCAAAUUUGCAUAUUCAUUUUGGUUCAAAUUGUAUACUAAGCAUAUGGAAUCUCUGUGCUGCAUCACCUGCUUAGUAGUUACAAGGGAUGCAACAAUGGUUUGCUUACUAAAUGGAUCAGACCUUAGCAAUAGGGAAAAUUCAUGAAUAUCAUGUUGGCAGGGAGUAAUAGCCAAUUCAACUUAAAUAAUUUCAACGCAUCCAGCUCUGUUCAAAUUUUUAAUAGUUUGGUUCUCAUCUUGCAGGUCAUAGAUAACAUAUGUAACUAAUCUUGUACUUCUUCUCAUCGUCAGAGUGUCAGACUGAUACCACU